RNAcentral lists this long non-coding RNA (58141 nucleotides) under Musa acuminata (dwarf banana). Its description in RNAcentral is "long non-coding RNA (MACU_LNC004780)". The stretch from base 2163 to 2265 matches the Rfam family "mir-395 microRNA precursor family". The record is from RNAcentral. Lineage: Eukaryota; Viridiplantae; Streptophyta; Magnoliopsida; Zingiberales; Musaceae.
ACAAUAAUUUCAUCUGCAUAUUUAGGAUGACUUGUACAAAUCUCUUGCAGAUCACCUGAACAAUAUCAUGAGAAAGAAGCCAGUUAUUUUCAUUUCAGAUAGAUAGGAGCAUGAUUAAGGCUAUUUGGUUGAGAAGCAAUAGAGACUAAUCAAAUAAGGAUGAUGAACAACCAACCAGUGAAAGGACAGGCAAAACACUUGCUUAAGUUCUUCAAGUAUCAGUACAAUAAGAUAAAUCUGAACAAAUGAAGAUCAUGGGACUCACAUUUAAAAUUACAUUUCUCAUUCUGGAAGAAGUUUUGGCCCAACAUCCCAAUAAAUUCCAAGUUACAGCAUGCAUCACCUUGCAAUAGCAAGAUACUAAGUUGCAAAUAAUCUGACCACAAAAACUUUGUUUUUGAAGAGUAGCUGAGUAGCAGAUACAGUGGCUGAAACUUUCACAGCAACAACCUAAAUAGUUCCUGCCCAACUCCACUACUGUUAAACUGUAAACUAGAUAGUAACCUUGUCUCAGAGCAGCAUUCCUGGUAAGAACAGUUCCAGAUAGAUAUGUAUGGUAGUUGGACACCAACAUGAGACAAUGAAAUGAUUGUCUUUAGUAUAUAUACUAGAACAAUCUAUGCUAAAUUGAGGAGAAUCUAUGAUAAUAUACAUAAUGGAGGAGACAAUCAAAACAAUUUGAAGUUAUGCUUUCAAGAAUGUGUGCUUUAGAUAUUAAAAAAAAAUGUUAGAAGAUUACAAGAAUAAGACCAAGGGAAUAAUAUGAAAUGUAUGCAUUAGAGUGAAUUUUAUGUAAGUGAUCAUCAGAAAGAAUAAUUUUAAGAACUGCAUUAAACCCUGGUUUUCAUUAUGCUCAUUAUAGGGAAAUUAAAUUUCCCUCAAGAAAUCUUUAGAAACUUACCUACAGGUGUAUCUGAAAAAUAUUGGAAUCAUUCAUCUAAUCCUUGAGGGCAAUAUUAGCUCAUGAGAUGUUCUGGAAUGCAGGAACCGACCAAAAAGGCUCUACAUUCAUUUUGUGCUGUCUCCCCAACCUAAAGCUACUGCAUUUCUUCUUUUGCACAAACAUAUCUUAGUGAUUGAACCCAAGAGAUCGAAUUUCUCAUUUCAUAAAUCCAGCUAUCGGAUGAAACCUAAGUUCUUCUCUAUCACUUCAGUAGAACUGUACUAGUUAUCUUAACUCUGUGUUUAGAGACCUAAUGAAGUGUCAUUGAAUGCUUUCAUCAGGACAAGUUUACAAACACUAAAUUGAGAUUGACCUCCCAAAACACUAACAAACAGAUUCCCUAUUAGACUUCUCAGAACAAUUAUACCUACCUUAAUCUAAGCCCCUAGUAGAUUGAAGACAGAGACCCUGUAAGAAGUGGCUGAGGGGAACACAAUGAACACCUAGCUAAACUAACUUGUCUUGAAGAAGUCCACCCUUGUUUCAUAAUUAUAAUGAUGUUCCAAUCUUCCAAUGCUCCUAUUAGGGUAAAUUAUGCAUGAAGUAAUAUGUCUAUGAGCUUUCAGGGAACAAUGAACCAAUCUACCUACAUUGAACCUAGCCACAUUUACAGCUCAUAUGGAGAAUAGGGAAUCCAUAUCUCUUGGCUUUACAUUUGCAUGAUUUUCUCUGUCUCUCUACCUAUUUCAGAAUCUUCUUUUAGGUCCCAAACCCUACACAAGUCUGAGGCAAAGUUGGAUAUUCCUCUAUCAUACAAAUGUUCUAUGUUUUUGCUCAACUUGCAGGGAUGCACAUCCCUACCUUGCACACCUUGGAUGAUUUAUCUGCAAUGGUUUUUGAAACCAAAAGAAGGGUUAAAAUUAGAGAGACAUGUGAGAGAGUCCUACCUUCUCUAUCCUCAUGCUCAGGGCAAUCAAAGCUUAGUUACAAACAUGAGGCAGAGUUGCAUGGCAUCUUUGAGAUACUCCAGUUGAAAGGAGACAAGGACUCAGCCAAAGAGAUUGCAUCUGACAGUGGCCUUUUGGCCUCACUGAAGGUUCUGUACCCCUUCCAUAAGAUCCUGAGACUUGAAAGUGUCCAGGUACAAUGAACGAGAUCUAUGCUCCACAGCUCUCAGAUCAUUCCUUAGACGACUGGAUAAACACUUGGAAGGGACUGUUAUAAAUAGGCUUCAAUGGUCAAAGCAAGCUGGGACACACAAACAAGAAGGAAGAGUUGGAUGUCAUCUGGAGUCCCUCAAACACUUCAGAAGGGCUUUUGGAGGCUAAACCUGGAACCAGGCAUGCCCUCCCUGAAGUGUUUGGGGGAACUCUGGGUGUCACCCAACAUACUUGGUGCUCAUGUGCCAGCUUUUGACAUUGCUGUUCCUUUGGCUGUAGCUCCUUUCUCAUGCUAGUUCUUUGGUUGCAUGCAUGAGUAGCCUUAGGAAAACAAAUUAUCACAUUGUUCCCUUUGUUUACAUUAUUUUCAUUUAAUUAGUGCCAUGCUUUAUGUCCAAAUUAUCUAUUGAAUGAAACCCCUCAANNNNNNNNNNNNNNNNNNNNNNNNNNNNNNNNNNNNNNNNNNNNNNNNNNNNNNNNNNNNNNNNNNNNNNNNNNNNNNNNNNNNNNNNNNNNNNNNNNNNNNNNNNNNNNNNNNNNNNNNNNNNNNNNNNNNNNNNNNNNNNNNNNNNNNNNNNNNNNNNNNNNNNNNNNNNNNNNNNNNNNNNNNNNNNNNNNNNNNNNNNNNNNNNNNNNNNNNNNNNNNNNNNNNNNNNNNNNNNNNNNNNNNNNNNNNNNNNNNNNNNNNNNNNNNNNNNNNNNNNNNNNNNNNNNNNNNNNNNNNNNNNNNNNNNNNNNNNNNNNNNNNNNNNNNNNNNNNNNNNNNNNNNNNNNNNNNNNNNNNNNNNNNNNNNNNNNNNNNNNNNNNNNNNNNNNNNNNNNNNNNNNNNNNNNNNNNNNNNNNNNNNNNNNNNNNNNNNNNNNNNNNNNNNNNNNNNNNNNNNNNNNNNNNNNNNNNNNNNNNNNNNNNNNNNNNNNNNNNNNNNNNNNNNNAUAUAUAUAUAUAUAUAUAUAUAUAUAUAUAUAUAUAUAUAUAUAUAUAUAUAUAUAUAUAUAUACUAAAUAAAACAAACCAUAAUCUGAUGCUUCACUUCCCAUCAUAUAAUUUUCAAGUGGUACUUCUAGGUUUUUUUUUUUGAAUAAUGAUAUUUUUUUGAGAAAUUUCUUGCAUAAUGAUAGUUCAAUAGUUGUUGCUUAUCUUCAUGAUUGCAUAUUGUUCUUUCUAAACAUCCAUAUGAGCAAGAUAUCCAUAUAUGAGGAAAGCUAUUCUCAUUUCUUUUCCUGCUUUGCAUCAAGUAAAUUAGUAUGAUGAUGAGUAAAAAAUAAUUGCAGAAAAUAAAGGCAAAAUAAAGAUGAAAUGUGAGUUACUGCUCAUACAGUGAAAAGUAUUGGGUUUAGAAGAGAAAGAAGCAGUUUAAUUUGAGUGAUCAAAAUAAAGAUAAAAUAGUUAUUCAUGUCUACUCUUCCACAAUAUGUGAUGUUAGUUGUUUCAUCUUUAUAAUUCUUUGAACAUAUACAUCUAACUAAUUCUCAAUCACUAAAAUGGAUUAUAAUCUGCUUAUAAAUCAAAGGAUUUAGACACUACAAAUCUAAGUUUCUAUAAGGGUGUAGAUAAUACCCUUUAACAAGAAAGAAGAAAACAAAGAGACUAACAUGAGAUGAAUCACUCUGCAACAAGCAAAGUGAAGGAUAGGUUCCCAACAAAACUAGACUAAUUAUAGUCAGAUUAGAUCAAGCUUUUCAAGAUAUUCAUCAUGAAUGUUUCGUAUUGAAAUGAGCUUCUAUUACAAAGACAUUGUUUGUAUAGAGAAGCUUUUGACAAGUUUUCCUUAUCCAAGUGUGGCUUUUGUAUAGAGAUGUAAUAGAGAGGCACAUUCUCUAGCUUGUUUUGCUAGAAUUGAGGGUCUGUCCAGGUUUUGGAGUGGUGACUUGCCCAGUUAUCAUGAUCUUGCAAGCAUUUUGUACUCUCCUAUUUAGUUUUUAAUGCAGUGUCUCUUUCUUCCUCCAAAAAAAAAAAACAUUGUUUGCACAAAUUGACAUUUCCAAAUAACCAUUCUUAAGAAUAGGCAAAAAAGACCAUAAGCAAGAUGAGACUACAACCAAGCUAUUAUGACAUCCACAAAACCAGUUAAACCUUGCAUAAGCACAACUCUAGGAAUUCCUAAACUCUAAUAUAUGGCUAUGGCAUGAAACCAAAGAGCUGAUAUUUUUGGAAAGCCACUAUCAUAAUCUCCUUGUGAACAUGUAAAUUGGAAGUCAUAUACAUGAUCAAGCAUCUACUGUUUUAACUAAACCCUCAACAAAGAUUUCAAAUACCAAACAAAUCAGUAGAUAUCACACAGUAUUUGCAGGUCUAAUCAAGGACUUGUAUCCUUCAUCUUUUUCAUUAUAUAAGAGAGUCUUAAUCGAUAUACUAUCGGAUAUAUGGUAUCAUACUGAUCCUCUCUCUUGUUGUGGAAAUCUUACCUACAACUAAUAUUCUUGAUAUGAUAAAUAUUCUUCAUCCAUCAAAACCCACGACAUUAAUCCUAGUCAAUUGAGUUUUUGCACCAUUGGCACUUACCGAGUCAAUACUAAAUAAGAAUAUAUUUUAAAUCAAAUAUAAUAUAUAGAACAUUCUCGAUAUAUGAUUCAAACUAUCAUACUAAAUUGCAAGCUUCAAGCACUAGAAGAGGUCGAAGUGGUGAUUGAUAGUCAAGGAGGUAGAUAGACUUAAAAGAUGCAAUAGACAAUAUGAUGCUUUCUCUCGAUGCUUAUGAUAAACUAAUUGCUAACAAAGACAACAUGGCCAUCCCCAAGGAAGAGUCAACAUCAACGUUGAAAGGGAAGGAGAGGACAAUAGAGGAAGGCUAAUUACAUAUUACCCUCGUAAUUAGCUAUCUUAAGUAUUUUGAUCUCUACAUUUAAAAAAAAAAAUAUUAGCAUUUCUAUAGUUAUGAAAGUGAAAUAUCUAAAUCCAUUUAUCCUAACGUUAUCAGUUUUACUAACGAAAACAUAAAAAAACGGGUAAAAAGAUAACUUUAACGUUCUAAUUGAUGAUGGUGAAUGACUUCGGUAAUAGUGAACGACAUCAUCAUUGGGGGCCACAAGUGAUUGUUAUUGAUGAGGAGAGAGAUACUGAGAAGUGAGAGCCACUCUGCAUCUAUGUCGACAUCGAUGCAAUUAUUGAGCGACGCUUCGACAUAAUUGCCGAGCAACAAAAGGGUCGCUCGACAUUUGCAUCGGUGGCCCUUUCGCUGCCCGACAAUUGUGUGGUUAUCGAUGUAGAUGUAAAGCAACGAAAAAAUCGCUCGACAAUUAUGUCGACGUUGAUAUAGAUAUAGAAUGACUCUCACCUCUUACUACUACUCUCUUCAUUUACAAUAGCCACCCGUGGCCCCUAGCAGUACUGUCGUCUAGCACCACCGAUACUAUUUGCUACCAUUAACUAAAAUAUUAAAAUUAUCUUUUUAUUUUUUGUUUCAUAUUUUCAUUAAUAAAACUGAUGGUGUUAGGGUAAAUGAAUUUAGAUAUUUCACUUUAGUAACUAUAAAGAUGCCAAUUUAGCUUUUUAAAGUGUAAGGAUCGAAAUACUAAAUGUAACUAAUUUCAUAGGGUAAUAUAUAAUUAGCCUCAAUAGAGAAAGAACGAGAAUGAUAAAUGAUUGAAGAUGAAGAAAAAUGUAAUAAUAAAAGAGAGGAAAAUACAAAGUACACAUAUGAUGGAGAGCAAUGUGAGGAAGAGAGAUAUAAGCAAGCAUGGUGGAAGGUAGAUGAAGCGAUAAGGGAUAACAAAAGAACAAAAAAAAAAUCAUAAAUGAGAUAACGAUAGCGGCAAAAGAGAGACAAUCAUAGAUGAGGAUAAUAGAGAAGAUGAAAAUAACUAGGGCAAUGUAGGAAGAAGGGAGAUUGGUUGGGCUGUUCAUAGAUUCAACUCAAAGGGAACACCAAUUUACAGGGUUUUUUUAGAAUUGAUUGUACCCCAAGCUAAUUUUUGACGGAUACACUCUGUCUUAUAAAGUGAAUAUUUUGUAGGUAAGUCUAUCUUGUUUGGAAUAAUUAUAAACAAAGUAUAGAAAUAAUAAAUAAAAAUAUAUUGGUCAAUGUACUAAAAAAAUAUCAUUAAUUGACAAAGAAAUAUUCUUGAUCUUUCAUAUUUUUUUAUAUGAUUUUUUGUAAAAUCAUAUUAAAUCGAAUAUAGGGUCAAUAUGAUUCUAUUUUCUCUUAUUCUUUUUGCUUCAUCCUCAGCAUCACCUAAACCUCUUCAUCAUUCCCUUCACCAUCAUCUAAACCUCUUCAUCAUUCCCUUCACCAUCAUCUUUAGAGGACAAGGAGGAAGAUGAGAGCUAACUACAAAUUAUCAUUUAUAAUUAGCUAUAUUUAUUAUCCUGAUCAUUAUAUCUUAAAAAGUUACAUUGCUAUUCUUAUAGUUAUAAAACUAAAACAUGUAGGUUCAUUUACUCUAACGUCAUUAGUUUUGUUAAUAGAAACAUGAAAAUAAAAAAGAAAAAAAAUAUAAUUCUAACAUUUGGUGGUGGACAACAGUGUCACUAGGGAUCGUGAGUGAUUGUUGUGGAUAAGGAAAUCAUUAGUAAGAGAUGAGGGUCAUUCGACAUUAGCAUCAGUGUGAAUGCAAAUAUAGAGCCGCAUCGCUCGAUAACAAUUGCGUUGGCAUCAACGUAAUUGCCGAGCGACGAAAUGAUCAUUGAUGUAGAUGCAAAGCGACCUUUACCUUUCACUCAUGCCCUCCUUAUCCACAACAACCACACAUGACCCUCAUGCCACCAUCCGCUACUAUUGCCCUCCUUAUCCACAACAACAACCAUACAUGACCCUCAACGAUGUCACCAUUCGUUACUAUUGAUGUCGUCCAUCGUUACCGAUUGGAAUGUUAAAUUAUUUUUAUUUUUAUUUUAUUUUUAUAUUUUCGUUGAUAAAAUCGAUGAUGUUAGGGUAAAUGGAUCUAUACAUUUUUCUUUCAUAACUAUAAGAAUAUUAAUAUAAUUUUUUAAAAUAUAAAAAUUAAAAUAUUAAAGAUAAUUUAUAAUUAAUCUGGAGGUUCAAAGAGAAAGUGACGAAGGGAGGGGGAGGAGGGGCUGACUUGAGAAACAGAAAAGGAAUUUGAGGGUAAAACUGAUAAAAUCGAUGAUGUUAGGGUAAAUGGAUCUAUAUAUUUUUCUUUUAUAACUAUAAAAAUAUUAAUAUAAUUUUUUAAAAUAUAAAAAUUAAAAUAUUAAAGAUAGUUUAUAAUUAAUCCGGAGGUUCAAAGAGAAAGUAACGAAGGGAGGGGAAGAAGGAGGGGCUGACUUAAGAAACAAAAAAGGAAAUUGAGGGUAAAACUGAUAAAACCGAUGAUGUUAGGGUAAAUGGAUAUNNNNNNNNNNNNNNNNNNNNNNNNNNNNNNNNNNNNNNNNNNNNNNNNNNNNNNNNNNNNNNNNNNNNNNNNNNNNACUGAUAAAAUUGAUGAUGUUAGGGUAAAUGGAUCUAUAUAUUUUUCUUUCAUAACUAUAAGAAUAUUAAUAUAAUUUUUUAAAAUAUUAAAAAUUAAAAAUAUUAAAGAUAGUUUAUAAUUAAUCCGGAGGUUCAAAGAGACGAAGAGAGGGGGAGAAGGAGGGGCUGAUUUGAGAAACAGAAAAGGAAUUUAAGGGUAAAACUGAUAUUUACAAAAAAAAACACGUAAAUACAUAUGAUAAAAAUGAUAAAAACUAAUUAGUAAUGGUCUUUUUAGGCUGAUUAUCUAAAUAAAUAAAUACAACUAAAAUAUAAAUAAACCACUUCCUCGAUUCUGCGACACCUCGCCGCUUCUCUCUCUCUCUCUCUCUCGCUCGUCUUGUUCUCUCGGUCGGUCGCUCUCGCUCUCUGUCGUCCUCGUCCUUCGUAGAGAACGUCGAUGUGGCUUCUCCUUGUUUCGACCCUGCGUAGAUCGGCGAUCCGAAGUCGGAGCACCUACGCGCGGUUCGGCAGCUUCGCAGCGGCUGAGAAGGGGCGCGGACCGUCCGAUCGUGAUCUCGGGGCAAUCGGGAGCGCGGUCGUGGGGGUAUUGGCCGUCGGUGCAUCGGGGCUUGGACUCUGGUCGGUUUCUUCAUCCUCAUAUUUCCCCGGUUCUUCCCUUUACUUCGCCGACUCCGAUUUGGCGCAGAAGGAGCCCGACCUUCGGAUCGUGUCAAAUGAUGCGAAGAUAGAAAAGAAGCCCAAGUUUCUGUUACCAGGUCAGUCUUUGACUGUUUGUGUACGUUAAACGAUCCCAAUUACUCCGAUCAGCUUGGAUGAUACCGGUCCAGAUCGGGUGCGUCUCGUACCUGAAUCGGAUCCGCCAAGUAUGCGAAUGAACUCAGAUGAGAUGCAUACUAAAUCAGAUGAUUCGCUCUGCACUAUUAUUAGUAUUGCUUGGAUCACUAAUGUGCUGCGAUUGCAAUAUCGGAAAUAUAAACGAAUUAGUAUCACUCUUGCUUGCUGCCUCAUCCACAAAAUGACUUCGGAUAUAGGAAACCUUUUAUGCAUAAUUUUUGUUGAUAUUUAUAUUAGACUUAGUGUUUGUCUGUUUAUUUUGUGCAGAUUCAUAUCGUAGAAGGGUGUUCUUCAACUAUGAGAAACGGAUAAGAUUGCGAAGUUCUCCUGAAAAGGUAUUCUGUCGAGAAAUAUCCAUAUUUUGCUCAACUAUUUUGCAAGAUUUGUCCUUUUACUUAUUAUAGAUUCACGUCUUUGUUAAGUAUAACUAAUAGCCAUUUCAAUGUGUCCUUCUUGACAUGGUGAAAUGAUCUUUCUGGUUAGAAAUUAUUCUUCUCAAACUGCAGUGUCAUCUGAUGUUUAUCAGACAGGCGUGUGUGGUUGAAACAUCCAAUUUAGGUUUCCAUAGAUAACACUCCGCUUGUUACUCUCUACUGGGAUUCAUGUAGUGUCAAAUAUACUUUAUUUGUUGCAAGUAAAGGAUCAGCAUUCUUUUCUUCUUUUAUAUGGUCUGGUUAGGCCCAUAAUAGAACUUAGGUGGCCAUUACAUUAUUUUUCAAGAACUGAUCACCAGCUAUCGAGGGCCUAAAAACAUGGUAGUCCAGCUGGAACAUAAUGGUACAUCUAAGUUGGGCCAAAGCUUGUAGAUGCUAGCACUUCUAACCCCCAUCCAAACUAGAGGAACCUGGAAAACCAGCAAACAAGCUGUUGCAUCUGUUAACAGUGCAAUUGAAAUGCAAAAGUUUAGUGUUCUAAACAGGUAAUGUACCUUUGAACCAGCAAUCCAGUUGUUGCAUCUGUUAACAGUGCAAUAGAAAUCCUAAAGUUGAGGUGUGUCAAAAAGAUAAUAUUCUUAUUGGUAUGCAAAGUUAACUGUUGGGAUUUGGAGUUGUGCUCCAUUCCCCGGCAGAUCAUCAUUAGCAUCAAGUCAAUUAGGCUUUUUCUGAAGGAAAUGAAACAGAGAAGUGAGGGGUUUUGAUCAGCUAAUAUCCCAAUAGGGAUGCAACUUGAAGUUUAGUGUUUAUACUAUUUCAGCUGCGGUUGGUGUAGAUACCCAUGUGAUUGACUCGACUAAGAAAUGAAGAAUUAUCAAGUACUCGACAUAACAGAUUUUCUUAAUACACCAUCUAAUGAUUGCUAUAUUACCAGUUACUCAUCCAAAACUAGUUCAAAUCAGUUAAGCAACUGACCGAAACCCUCAAUGUUCUCAGGUAUGUAGUUCGCUCAUAUUUUUCCCAUAAAAAUCACUAUUUCAUCACAAAUACCAGUAAUCAAUCAUGUAUAUAUUGUACAGUGUACACAUAAAAGUUGAAUUUUGUUAUUGUUUCUGGAACAACUUCAGAGUAUUGUAGUCCAAAAUGGUAGGAGUGUUUUCGUUGUAUUGACUUUUAAGCAAUCACUGGAUGAUUUUUUUCUCUGUAAAAACUCAAAAUUAAUGUUUUUCCAACACAAAGUCAGUGAAGAUAAACUCCAUUAUGGAUUAAAUGUCUUUUGUUGCAUCAUCUAGGCAAAAGGAAACAAUUUUCAGUGGAGAAAAUUUUGUUCCUGCUAUGCAAUAGCUCCAUAACACAAUAGGUUUACUUCUUAGAAUUUCACAUGUAUAUUUGUUAGCAUCUGAUGUUAGUCUUCAUGUACAUUCAUUUCCAAACUUAGUGCUUGUUGGUAUGUAGAUAUGUACAAAUUACCAGAAUCCAAAUUUCUCUAUUUAGUCCUUAUUUUCUUCUAUUCUAUAUUUGGUUUUGCCUUACUGUUUUUAUAUGGUAUUAUAAUGUAAUACAAUUCAGUAGUAUGUUUUAAACUUGACUUGUUUUCCAUGUUUUCUUUAUAGAUUUUCGAAUAUUUCGCAACAUCUAAGAACACAAAAGGAGAAAUAUGUAUGACACCUGCAGAUUUUAUGCGAGCAGUUGUUACUGUUUUUCCUCCAUCAGAAUCCAAUAUUGUUAGAGAAGGAUAUUUGAGAGGGGAGCGUGUUCCUGGGGAAUUGCAUUGCGCGCCAUCUUCCUUUUUUAUGCUUUUUGAUACUGAUAGUGAUGGACUAAUAUCCUUCCCAGAGUAAGUCAAAGAUGUCUGUGUUUUUUUUUUUUUCCUUUUUAUCCAUUUAUUUCUUCAAGCUCGUUUUAAGCACAGGGCAGUUUUGUUGUUUCUCAACCUACAUUUUGCCUUGUUACCAGGUACAUAUUCUUUGUGACCUUGCUUAGCAUUCCUGAAUCAAGCUUCAGUGUGGCUUUCAAAAUGUUUGAUCUUGACAAUAAUGGGUAGGUUUUGUUCCUCGUGCAUGAAGUUUUGUUCCUUUCUUUUACAGAAAUUGUUCCCCCUGUCUUGUUAACCAUUUUAUUUGCAUCAUUAAUGAAACUCUUUCCUGUGGUUCCUCAAGAAAAACAAAGACUUUGAAACAAGCAUAGCCAAGCUGAAACAUGUUGUGCUGAAUAUAUACCUUGGGCCUUUAUAUUCAUAACAAUGUCAUGCUUGCUUUUGGUACUGUAGAAAAAAAUCUUGAUCAAACUUAUAUCCUAUAUUUGCCCAAUGGAUAGAAUAUGCUCAUGGUAAGAAUUCAUAUGGGUUUGAUGUACUCUUAUCUUCGACGAAUGACCCUGCAUUGAGCCAGCAUUCAAUGAGGUUAGUUAUAUAUAUAUAUAUAUAUAUAUAUAUAUAUAUAUAUAUGUCAAAAUCCCCGAUAAAGGAUUUUAGUUUCGAAUGAAACCGCCCGUACCGGGCAGUAUCGUUGAUCUAUCCUUGUAUCGAACGAUAUGGGGUUGUAUCGGGUGGUAACGGUCGAUAUUUCCAUCGUUACCGCUUGAAAUAGGUCGAUAACGAUUGAUUUCGACUGUUGCCACGCACUACCGAGCGGUAUCUACCUAGUUGCGACAAGGGAAGAAGAAACCUUGAGGGAGAAGAGGGAGAAGAAGAGGGAGAAUCGGGAGAACCUCGACGCUUCCCGAUCCGAUGCCGCCCUCCCUCGACGAUCCAGAUCCAGGAGGUAACGGAGAGGCGAUGACUCGGCUUCUUCGUCGCAUUCUUCGCCAAAGGUUGGAGAUGUCUGCAGCCUUCGACGUCUUCGUCGAAUGCCGCAUAUGAGGAGAAGGUCAUGUUCUUCUCCUCGUCCGAUGCGACGAGAAGAAAAGGAGGUGACGUCGUCGAGGCAACAUACGCCUCCUUUUUAUUUUUAUAUUUUUUAUAUUAUAUAUAUACACGUACCAAGUUGUACAACCUAGCGUACUGCUCGAUACGCUCAUAUCGUACUGUACCGAGCAAAGCUUGAUAUGUCGGUAUGAUACGAAAUUGUGAACCUUGAUAUAUAUAUAUAUAUACAUAUAUAUAUAUAUAUAUAUACAUAUAUAUAUAUAUAUAUAUAUAUAUUUGCCUAACUAUGAUCUUUGUGUUUAGAGCUAAAAGUGUUGUGAUGUGUCCUUGCCAUCCUAGAGCGAGUCCGUUGUUGGCAUGUGGCAUAGAAACCAAUGUACCGAUCAGCUGUCAGUACGAUAUGUACUGAGUUAUACCGAGUGUAUCGACACACGGAACACUAAGAUGUAUUGAUGUACUGCCCAUACUAAUCCUUUAUCGGACCAGUAUAUACCACCCGUACCGAGCGGUAUGGUACAGUAUUAAAAACCAUGGUAGAAAUCGAUGUUUUGGAAUGUAUUCUCAAUUUAGAAAAGAGUAAAGUUUCAUAUAUAGCUGUAACCUUUUAUGUGCUUGAUUUACUAGGUAAUUUUAAAAAUUUUUACAAUAACUGUAAUUCACAUCAGAUUCAGAAAGCUAUUGUUAUUUUUUUUAUAGCAGGAAAGGGCCUGUUUUUAAGCCUUUGAAACGUUGACUACAUAAAAAUUAAGGUAAUCCAUUGACUUCUUCUAAGUUUUUGUACACUUUUAAGCUUUGCUUCAUACUGAGAGGAAGCCUUAUUCUGACUUCACUGGCCAAUCUGAAUUGAAUGGUCAGUAGAAAAUUCUGCAACCUCAGCAUUUCCUUGUGGUUAAAUGAUGAAACAAAGAUAGAUCUGAAGUAUUUCAUUAGUUGGCAAUUUAGUAGCUUGUCCUACUUUUUAAAAUUUCUGAUAAAAAAUCCUUCAUAUCAAUUUUAGGCGAUCGUUGUAGGGUACAUGGCUUGAUAAUAUUGUUUAGAUUGCGCUUUGCCACGUGUGACUAGGGGUUGAGUCACCAAAGUCUCCCUAACCCAUAGAGUUAAGACCUACUUGGGGAGUUAAUGCUUCUUAUGUUGACCAUCCCUUAUCCUCACUGGCAAGAGCCUCAUACACUAUGCCACAUUCUCUGUUAUAAUGAUUUUGUGACUGUUUCUUGUUAUUCUCAAGGGAAAAAUAUCUUCAUCGGUCAGAUAAAUUGUUUUAGCUUGCAAACAGUCUUAACUUAUGGAAACAUUAUCAUCUUUUUAUCUGGAUUCAUAUUAUUUUCUUAUUCUGAUACUGAGUCUUAUUAUUUAAUCACAUUUGAUAGUACUCCAUUUGCAAUUCUUUUGCUGUAUUAUUUAUCUAUAUAUUUUUUAUUACCAUGUUUAUAUUUGGAUCAAUUGCAUGUGUUUAAAUUCAUUUGCAUCCAAAUAACGCUGCUCUUUCUGAGCUGUGCAAUUGCUGCUAAUGAUCUAGUUGUUGUUACAAGAAGGGUAUGAACAAUUUAAUUAAGUUUCUUGGUGCUUGUACAUGGAUGCUAAUGGCUUUUUAUAUCUUUUUUUCCAGAGAGAUAAAAAGAGAAGAGUUUAUGAAAGUGAUAGGAUUAAUGCAUUCUUAUAAUAGACAAGGGGUUUCUCAUAGUAAUGGCCUUCGCUUUGGUCUAAAAGUUGGUGGCUUUAUUGAGAAUGGUGGUCUGCUGCAAUCUUUCUUUGGCAAGGAUGGGACAGGCUGCCUCCAACAUGAUACAUUUGUUCAAUUUCUUAGGGACUUACAUGAUGAGGUACUUCAUGCCACUCAUUGAUCUGAAGUCAUAAUUAUGACCUUUCUGUGGUUUUCUCUUCCAUUUGAGUGUCUUAUACAUAUAGCUACCUAAAAUUGUAAUACUAAUCCUUAUAUUUUAGUAAAUGGUUGUCCUAUUAUCUCAAGCUAUCAUUUGACCAGAUGCUUUUAAUGCAUAAAAUGUUAGUAGAUAAGCUCAUUAGCCGAAUGAGUGUGGAGGUUAAUGGGGUAGCAACAAAGAGAGAACCAUCAUAGUAGAACAUUAAUUUCAAACUCUGUCUUAGGUUAUUUUUGUGGCUGUUGUUUCUUGUAUGGCUAAAAGUAGGAAGUGAAAGCAAGAUUGAUUGGAUUAACUGCUUUCUUAUGAAAUUAAUUCAACCAUUUAAUCUCACAUUUAGAGUGGUAGUAGAUCUAGUUUAGACAGCUGGCUGCAUAAUGUCAUUACUAAUCAGGAUUUUGCAUCAGUGUCCGAGUCAGGAGAAACUCGCCUUGGACAAUCUCACCCUUUGGCUGAGCCUUCUAGAACGGUCCAACCAGAACUUUUUGCACCAAAGGGUCAUAUUGAGAACUUAAGAAUCUAAAUCAGGAGACAGUUUCAUAGAAGUUAAGACAUUUCUCAUAAUGAUCAUUCUACGACAGAUUCACAAGAAUUUUUGCUUGAGCUUCUAACAGAAGGAACCGUCUUCUCUAUUCAAUAUGGCUUCUUUCUACUUACUGCUUCUUGCAAUGUGAUCCAAUGUCAUGUAGUCUCCUAUUCAACUCGGAUGGUAUAGUAUGGACUAUGGAGACUUCAUUCAACUCAAGCCUUAUGUUCGUGCCUUCAGGCAUGCAAGUGCUUGUCAUUGCAGAUUGGCAUGUGUGACAAGGCAAUUCAUAAAGAAUUGGAUCUUUUGGAUACUUAUUUUGAACAUAUUACUUCGAUUAAUUUGCAAAAGCCAACUCCUAAAAGUUACUGCUAUCGAUUACGAUUCAAAACUUAUCAUGGGUUUAGGCUUGGAAUCAGAAUUUGGGAUCGGAAUUAUGCUGGAUGUCUGGAUCAAGGCCUGAACAGAUUCCUGUCUGAUUACAAUUGAAGUCGUUCACCCCCUUCCCCUGGCGUGUUCCACAGAUUCUGCCUGAUCUUUGAUCUCUUGAGGGUUUCAGUAUACCAGCACUUUUUGGAAUUAAUAAAUCAAGAUUUACAUCUUUUAUAAAUCAAUAUUCAUAAUAUUUUCUUAGCUUCUGUGUUUUGCUAUCACUAGUUCUUGUUAAAGUAUUCAAUAUAUGUGCAACAUAAUAAAUGAUUAAACUGUUGGUUUCUGAGAUAUUCUAGGUCCUGAGCCUUGUUGUCUCGUUUUAGUGAUGGACUAGUCUUCCAAGAUUUGCCUAGGAUAGAAAGAGGUGUGGAUGGGUUUGGAAGUUUGAAGGUCUAGUCUCAUUCUCACUUUUCUUUUGUUACCAGGAUUUUUAAUACUGAAAGUGUUUUGACUAUGUUUUAUGAAGAGCCAUAACCUGUUUAGGUCGUUAUAUUAGUUUAAAAUUUUAGAAUCUAAAUCUUGAAGAGUAUAAAAUUAUUUAAAUUCAAUAUUGUUAAUUCUAGAAAUUUUGAUGUCAGUUAUUAAGAUACGUGUCCAGGCUCGUUGUUACAUCUGCUUGCAUAUUUAUUAUGUACUCACUGUUAGUUUCUUUAGUUUUUGGUCUAAUAUUUUAGUAUUGUAGCUUGAAGUAUCAUCACAACCAUUGGUACAUAAUGAUUUUAUCAAUAUUCUAGGUUUGGAUUCAUCUACAUGGCUCAUGAAGGGCUUUAAUGAUACUUCCAUAAAAAGUUGCUUGUACAUAGCAUUUGGAUACAUAUCACAAACAUUUUACUUUCUUUUGUAAAUGGUUAACUGGUUUCUGAACUUGAAUAUCAUUUAUCAUUCACUUUACAAAUUUAUAAAGAUUAAUUUUAAUUGUCGGCUACUGCCUUUUGCUUCUAAUAAAAUUUACGCUGUUCAGAUUGUGCAUUUGGAAUUUGCACAUUAUGACUUCAAGUCAAGGGGAACUAUUUCAGCUAAGGAUUUUGCACUAUCAAUGGUUGCUUCAGCAGACAUGAACCAUAUAAACAAGUUACUAGAUCAAGUGGAUGAAUUGGAUAAUAACCCUUCUGUGAGAGAUAUUCGUAUUACCUUUGAGGUAAGACUAUUCUUGUACUCCUUCAGAUCUUAGCCUCUUGAUCUUCUUGUUAACCUCAAAAUUUCUCAAUGUCCAGGAAUUCAAGGCUUUUGCAGAACUACGUAAAAGAUUGAAACCCUUGACUCUAGCUAUCUUUAGUUACGGGAAAGUGAAUGGCUUGUUGACAAAGCAGGACUUUAUACGAGCAGCAUCCCACGUAAGAUCAACUCUUUUAUCUUUGUGUACUUCUUUUAGUUUCUAAUUGUUGAAGAUUAUUAGCUGGUUUUUCAGCCGGUAGGAAAAGUGUGAGCCUUGUGGUAAAUGUGAUGCCAUUGUAUAUGAAUUAUGUUUCGGGUAAAAACAAAAUGCAUUGGAUCAUUGUACAGGUAAUGUAUAUGACACUGGUGGCUUUCAAAAUGUUGGUGCCCUUCUAUAUGAAUUUUGUUCAUCUGAUGUAACUUUUGUAUUUCUUUCUUAGUCUAACCUUUAAAUGUAUUACCAGAACUAUUACCAUUUGCAUUUUUAUUGUGAAUCAUCUGUGUAUUCACUCUGCAUAUCUGAUGAUAUGAUUUAUCUAUAUGUUAUACAAAAUAAGAAUACAUGGUUAUUACUUGUAGAUAUGCUUGCUGUCUUUAAACAAAGUCUUGUGCAACUGAAACAUGGCCUUUUGUUCAGAGCAAAUCUUGCUGUUUGUAAUAUCAGGAUUCCCUUUUGCGUCCACUUGUCGAUAAAGUUGGGAUAUGGAUAUUAGUCUAUUUAACUAAUUCUUAGUCUAUCGACAAUCCAUUCCUCCAUUUAUUUUUUAGACUUUUUGCCUGAACUGUCUAUAUCUUUUCUUGGACUCAUUACAUAUGACCAGCAAUAAAUUUUUGGUUGUUAUGAUAUAUGCUUCUGGUUUUCCUGAGUGCUGAUGAAUGAGCUCGUUUGGUAUCAAUUGGAUAUUUUUUUCUUUAUAUUGGAUGAGAGUUGUCGAAUAUGAAAUUAAAAAAGCUACCUUCGUGAUGAUAGGUUUGUGGUGUCUCUUUGACUGAAAACGUGGUUGAGAUCAUCUUCCACAUCUUCGACACAAAUCGCGAUGGGAGCUUAAGCUCAGAGGAGUUCUUAAGAGCCGUGCAACGACGAGAAACUGAUAUUCGCGAGCCUAGCUCAACAGGCAUCAUGGGGCUCUUAUCAUGCUGGCUGCACUGCAGAAGGCACUGCUCCUCGUCGCAACUGUUUGGUUAAAAGCGGACCCGUGAACACAAAGGGGGAUGCAGUGUUCAGAGCUGGCAGACUUUAUUAAUGGGGAAGAAAUAUUUGGAUAGACACGAUUCCUUCCUCUCGUGUGUGUUGCAUAUUGUGUCAUGUCGAUAAUGUGUAAGGUUGUCGUCGGGAUCGAGGAGACUAGAUUUCUUGAUCCCUUUUGAUGUUCAUUAGAUUUCCUUAAAUAGAAUCUAUGAUUUGCACAUAAACUUGUUAUUUUUCUUAGUGUCUUAACUCGCGUCGUCGGACUGCUGUCAAUUAUGUAAUGAGUUGGACUCAUUGCACAUAAAAUUGGCAUGGAUAUUUUUCUGGCAAUUUUAUGUGCAAAUUUCUGUUGAUGACAGUAAUUGUUGAUAAGUCUUUUUAGUCAAUGAGAUUGCUGUUGGAAAUCAUGCCUUCGGAUGAUUGCAUCAACCAAAGUUCAGAUGUCUGAGUGAGGUUUUGUGAUCCAACCCAGCUUGUUCGCAAGCACUUUCUUGGAGCCUUCUUCGGCAAAGAUGGAAGAGAAACGUAAAAUCCAUCUUCUUGUAAUCCAAUUGCCUGUGUGAUGGGCACAGAUGUUUCGAUACAGGAAGAUUAGUUUCUUGUUUGGCAAUUUUCAUAAUUAUUAACAUUAUCCUUAGUUUGAUAAGGGAGGAUUUAAUACUGACCAAAUGACAACAAGAAACACAAUACAAUGAUAAAUUAAAUAUUAUUUGGCACUUGUCAAUAUGAUCCUCUACUGGUAUUUCGUUGUUGUAAUACUUGAGUUUUUGAAAUGCCAUCAAACACAAGAUACUAUCAAAAUCCACCAUCCUGCCUUUGACUUGAUGCUGUCUUCUUCUUCACUAUGGAGAAACAAUAAAUUAAUAGUUUGACCUUUACAGGAUGAAGUUAAUCCUGACCGCUGUGCUCUACAAAGACCAGCCGAAAGAAACUUAAUCGUACAUGUUAUGUUGACAAAUGUGAAGCUUAAUCAUGCAUGUUAUGUUGACAAAUGUGCUCGACAAAAGUGUUGAGAAGCAAGCAACAUUGAAAGGAUCAAACUUCAUUCAGGUCCACUCAGUCUACAAGUAAUUUAUACUUUUUAUUUCUAUAAAGUGCACCAAUCAAAACAAAAGAACGGCACAAGACUUCAUAUGUUUUUUCUUAUCAUUCAAUAACAGAGUACCAAACAAUGAUAUCACUCGAAUCUCUACAGCAAAAAUUAGGAAUGCCUAAUCAUGUAAAGAAGCAUAUGUAAUAGACCAGCAACCAUCACAAGCAUUAGUUCGGUCUAUCCUUGUUAGCUUACAUCUGCUCCUGAAACUUUGGAUAGAUAGGCUUCUGUGAAAGGAAAAGUUUGUGAUGGAUGUCGUGGUACACUGUAAGAUGGGAGAAUUGGUCACUUUAAUCAGGGCUUCUCGAUGUCGAGUCUUUCUGAAUUGAGAGAGCUUUUAGAAAGUCCAAUGCAAACUGUAAGUCCAUUGUCAAAAUGAUCUUCCUAUAGUGUCACGACAAACAACCAGGAAAGUAUAGAGUCACGAAGCUGGGUUGCAACACCUGAGUUCCAUUGUUCCUCAAGCCAUGGAACAUACUUUUUCUGGUAAAGAGUUCAAGAUGAUGAACAAACAAGAUUAAGAACAUUAAGCAUUUUGUAGACAAUGGGUUGAAAUGUGACUUAAGAGAUUAGUUACCUUGUCUAGAACUGCUACAGCAAAGAUGAUCAUCGUCCACAUAUGUUGCGUCGAGACCAAUUAUCCAGGAACCUACUGAUGUAUCAUCAUGAGCAUAUGUCUGGAGAGAUGCACUGCAAGAUGGUGAGAUUAAAAGUCAACUUUACAUUCAAAUAAAUGCUUUUAUCCUACUUCAGGACAGGUUUAUCCUUCUUUCCAAUGUGGGAUGUCUGCAUGGAUUAUGAAACACUCGCAGAAAUUAGCAUUUGUCCUUCCACUAUUGUGGACCUAUAGUUCAUUCUACUUGUGACUGCCUAUAUAAGAUCCAUACUUCAACAAAUGUAAAGAACAAAAAUGAAAAAUGACACAACCAAUGCACAAGGCUCCUGCCAAUGCAAGUCUAGGGAGGAUCAAUGUAAAGAACAAAUCUGAGUAAGAAUUAAUGCAAAGAACAAACCAAGAAUAUCAAAGUCUGACUAACGUCAACAUGGUGGAAGCUUCUGAUUGUGAUUGUGCAAGCAGUAAAGCAGAAGCCAGAAGGCAGCCUACCUUAUCUCCAUGUCUUAUACAACUGACAUAAUUCAUUGAAUAAUGAAACAUUCUAAACCAGCUCACGACCGAUAAAUUGCAGAUCAGCUUAUGAUGACACAUGGAUAAAAUAUGAAGCAUGAUGACUUCUAGAUUGCACAAUCAUAGCAACAAUUUCAAUAAAAUACCAACAAAAUUUAGGGAUCCACACAUGAUCAAUUUUAGUGAACAAAUUUACAUACAUUGUUAAAUCUGCAGCUUCUCCACUUGCAACAUGAAUCUUGUGAUCACUUAAAUAAGCAGAUAUAGGCUUUCAACAUACAGAAGAACAUAAUAAGACAACUUCCUGCAACUGAAGAUAUGCCAAUACAAGUAUAAAAAGUACAAUUCUCUAUUUUUCCCUAAAUUAGAAAUUUAAGUUCUUAUAGAUAAAAGGAAUUGCUUCAAAGAAACUAGGAUGUCCACCAAGUAAUAUCAAGUGAACAAAAUAAUAAUAUUUAAGCUAGUGAAAAAGAAAAGGUCACUGAUUCCAUGAACUCACCUGUUUAUGUUGAUGUAACGAGCUAAAUUAUUUGAUAAUAUAAUAAGAGAACCAGCAGCAUGACGGAAAUACCUGAGCAGCAAAAAGCAUUCAUAUAGAAAGCUAAUACCAUAAAAGAAGCACUAUGAUAAGAAAUUGUAUUGCUGCAUAAAAUACAACUUAAAUUUUUUGCCUAGUGAAUCUAAAAGAAUAGCAUGCAAAGGCCAUAAUUGUAUAUUUACAUUCUGUGGUUGACUUAUCCACAAUAUUUGACUCAAUGAAUUAGUAGUUAUUCACUAUUUCAGGUAGAAAUUUGGCAUAUAUUAGCAAUAGCAUAACAAAGAGUUAAAAGCAAAAAAUGCAAACAGUAUAAAGGUACUCAGCUAUUAGGAUAGGAAGUACUUGAAAGUUGAAAUGAAGAAGAAAACAGACUGUGUUACUUUUUUGUUCCAAGAUAAGGACAAAACUGAUUCUUGGUCGAAGAGGAAAUUGUACAACCAAUUUAUUUGAAGUUCAUAGAUUAUCUAAUUUGACUUGACUUCCUGUUGGAUUUUUUACAGAAAUUAGACUCUUGAACAAUACUUUGAUCUAUAUCAGUAUCACCACUGACCAAUCCGGUAUUUGCCGAAUUUCUGCGUCUUAUAGACAGAAAUCAGUGAGGAUCAACUUAAAAUCAAUCAAACUCAACUGAACUUGGCUAAUUUGGACCCAUCUAACACCCACAAAAGUUAGAAAAGAAAAAAGGAAGAGUGUACGGGUAGAAUGGAAAAAAGGAGAAGACAGUAUAAAGACCAAGGAGUGCUUGCUGAGAAAAAUACACACUUAAUAAUUAUUAUGUUGUUUAAACACAUGGCUUCAUUAAAAAUAUUAUUUUAAUUGUUCCAAUUGGCAGGAACCUCAUGCACUAGAUAUAGAUAUACCCUUUUACCUGAUUGAAGCUUCAAAUAAUAUUUGCAGUUUGAUGACAAGGUGUUGUUUAUGACUAAAGUUUGUAUUAUGAUGUCCAUGGCAAGAGCAUGUCCAUGUUUUCUGCGAACCAACUACAAUAAUUCAAUUUCUUUAGUUUGGUAACCAGACCUUUCUUUCAUCUUCAACAUAAAUCCAUUGAUAAAUUCAAAUUUCAUAUAUACAAAUAGAUAGGAUGUACUAUAAAUUGUAGUACUUCAAAACAAAAAAUGAAAUUUUGGAUUACAAAUGUGUAUCGGUCGAUUAUCUGGACAGAACAGAUAGGAUGUACUAUAAAUUUUAGUACAUCAAAGCAAAAAAUGAAAUUUUGGAUACCAAAUGUGUAUCGGUCGAUUAUCUGGACAGAACAGGUCCAAAACAUGCAGGCAUACCGAAACAUAUUGGACCACAGUGCCAUUCCGCUAGAGGAGGGAAAAUGCAGGGGGAAGAAAGAAAGAAGAAGAAUAAAGAGGAAGGAAGAAGAGAGGAAAUGAAGAUGAAGAAGAGAAGUAAAAGAGGAGAAGGAUAAUUACUGAAGAUGAAGGUGUAGUGGGCUGCAGGUGAUGCACGGACACGCAUCAAGUUGAGCAGAGGGCGAUGGCAUGAAGACGACACAGGCUCAUGGUGAGUCAUGAGGACUAAGACAAAACACCUGCUGUCUUUAAAAAACACAACCCUGCUGUUUUAAGAAAAAGGAAACAAAAUGCUGGAAAUGGGUGGUCUAAGGUCUGGGUUCAUGCUCGAACCAGUAUAUGAGUCGACAAGGACCGGUCAAAGUGAAAUUGGAUUCCCCGCUUCAAAGCAAGGCUUCAAUAUCAGUCACUCCUAUUUGUAUCAACCAUGUUUACUGUUUCAAUCAAGGGCUGAUAAAAAACUAGCAAAUUGAUAUUUAUUUUUAAUUAUUUUUUCCCAAUGAUACUGAGCAACAUAAGCCAACAUGACAUCCAGAAUAUUAAUAUCAUAUUAGUCUAGUAUCAAAACAAUAAUUAAAUCAUUACUUUGAAACAUUAUUUUUUAGUACAAAGGCAAUAACUUUGAAUGUAACCAAGUUUUGCUGAAAUAGAAAUAGAAUGAUAUAACAAAUGCACUUACGACUUUGCUUCUCCAAAUUUCCACCACUCAGGUUCAUACCACUGUCUUCCCCUGAAUAUAGAAAGAUGGACAAAUGUUAAAAAUAUAUUGAAAUUUUACAUGCUCAAGAUGAGAUUGAUUUACCCUAAUAAAUGCAAAUUUAGUUCUAUCGGACAUACUCUAACGGAGGCCUGUGAGUAAAAAAAGAUAUACGUAGCCUAAAUUUGUUGCAUUAACAGUCUUUAGGAAGUGAGAUUUGUAAAGAAUGAUCCACAAGUUGUCAUGAGAAUUGCACAUGAAAACUAAACUAAGAAGAAUGCAAUGGCACAAAAGCCAAUGUGCACAAGUUAAUCAAUAUUGCAAAUACUCAACUUCUAGCAUGAUUGAGUUGGAAAAAUGUUCAUAUAUAAUGAAUUCAAUUAAACAACUGACAUAUUCGCUAGUGGUUAUUCUGGAAGAUAAUGUCAAAUGAGAGCAAGUGCACUGAUAGCAUUACAGUAUUGGAGAAUUUCAGAAUUUAUCACAAAAUAAGUAACAUAUUGAUAGAUGCUUUCUUUUGUCAUUUUCUUUUUAAAGAUUUCCUCUUUCUGCCACUGAGCUUUAUUAAUUCUCUCUUUAUCAUUUUCCCUCUCCUCCAGUCUAGUGUCCCUGAACACUUUCCAAAAAUGCAAUUCUAUAGGUCAAUCAUGUUAACAGCAUCAAUUAUUCCCAUGUACCUCAUGUUCUACAGAUAUAGUUACAUUACAAAAUACAAACAUAUUAUAAGAGCUUUUACUCUUGAAUUUUUGAAUUUACAUAAUCCUUGUUAUUAUGAGGUCAUCAUGAGAAAAUGUACUACUAAUUACAACUACGAAAUUAUGAAUGAGGAUUUUAUCACACAUCCUCAAUUGUAAAUCAUGUCAAUUUGCUAAUUCAAAUAAUGUACCCUGUCCAUAAGGUUUUGCAACUCUGAAUUAUGAUUGCAAGUGCUCGCCUUGCUAGGAUUUUUAUCUGAAUGAUGAACUAUUAUUUUGCAAUUAUGAACAUAAAACUGAAUUCUGAUUUUGACUAGAACACAAGAAGUAGGCGAUUUAGGUAGCCGUGCAGAUCAACGGGUUUCUGAUUUUGAAUUGAUCAUGCUUCAUAUUUCAAUUCCCUUUGAAAUGAAGAUUGUAGUAAACAUUGAACACAAAUUUUUAAGCAUCAACUAAAAAUAGUUAAUAUAUUCUUAGGCAAAAACAAGACCAAUUACAGCAUGAUCAUACCCUUGCCAAGUUUUAACCACAUGUACUUGACAAAUUAGACAAUUAAAGCUAUAAAGCAUGGAUAAAAAUAAUAAUACAUUAAUAAUAGCACAUACAGAAUAUGCUGAUAUGUAUAACUUUUUUUAAAUUAUUUUCCUUGUUAAACACUCUGACUACAUGUAAUUUGCAACUCAAAUGAUUAAGGCUAUGAAAAAUGCAUACAGAUACUGGAUAUUGAUAUGACAUAUAGAGAUUGAGUCAAUAUACACAACUUUAUUUCUGUAGUUCUUUUCCUUGGUAUACAUUUUGACUACAUGUACUUUGCAGAUAAAACAAUUAAAGCUAUGAAGUACUUCAAGAAUGUACAGAAGAUAAAAAUUAAUAAUAACGAAUGAACUAAGAUCAUAACUCAUGAUCUGAUGCUUAAUACCAACAACACGAAACAAUGUAUAAUUAUAGAUUCACCUCAUUGUAUCUAAAAAAAUCAACAUUCAUGAAAAAAAUAAACUGCUCCCAAUCAGUGUCCAUGAGUUGUCCUAAAAAUAUUUGAUAUCUGGCAUGAAUCUAAGAAGUAGUGUAGGUACAUAGUACCUGAUACAAAUUUCAAGGAAUUUGAAUUACAUCUAAUCUUUUAUGUAUAUUCUCAUUCUGAGUUGUCAUCACUGAAAAGGACAUUGAUUUGUUGAGUUUCACCACCUAAUGAAAUUAAACAAAAUUUAAACAAGCAGUCUGUGUAAUACACUUGUUCUUGCAUUAAAAUAAUUACUUAGGUUACAAACUAAAGAAAAAAAGUCAAAUAUAGGGAAAUAUUACAGAUUGAAAAAACCAUGUCAAUGGUGUUAUAGAUAUUAUUAAUAAUUAAUUAUCUGUCCUUGAUGCACACAACGCCUUUCCAAAACCAAUUUUCUAGUAAUUAGAAGAAGCUAUAUAGCUACAGUCUUCUGGAUUCUGUAAUAUCAUAAAAGAAAAUAAAUAUUGGAUCACUAAAGUAAACCAAUAAGGUUAACAAUUUAACAAUGCCAUCAAAUAUGUUAUUGUCCAUUAAAACUGAAGGGGAGCAUAAUUUUUGCAGUAUAUGAAGAAUUUACAGAUAUCAUCAAUAAUAUUGUUCAAAAGUUGAAGAAUAUACUCUUCACUUAUGACACCACCAGACUUCAUGCAGCCCAUGUACAAGCCAUGGCCUCCACGACGUUUUUCAAGAAUCUCUAUUAAUCCAUCUGAUAGACACAAACAGGAGCAAACAUUAAAAUGUUCAUUUAAACUAAUUGCAAAAAAUAUGAAUUUUUAAUCAUCAAAUAAAAUUGGAGUAUAAUAUCUUACCUAGAUCAAGAUUAAUAUUAUCAUCAACCUUAACAUAGAACUCGGCAUCCCAUGAUUCAACUGCUGAGCUGAAGAAGAAUUUAGCUUUUCUAGGCAACUCUUCUGCAGCUUCCUCAUGACUUUCCUAAAAGACAAAUGAAAUAUCCUUAUGGAUAUAAGAGUAAUGACAAUUGUAAAUUAAGAAAACUAAAAUGAGAGUAAUGCACUAAAAUGUAGUCAGAUUACUACCAUAUAUAAAUUAUCAGAAGUUAACAUAGUAGAUUUUCUAUAUUCAUCGGUAAUUUAGUUGUGAAUAUAGUAGUCUAUGAAGCAGAAAAGAAAGAUCUGGUAGGAUAAUUCACAAACCAGAUUCCUUUGAAAAAAAAAACGAUUCCAUUUAUGCUACAAAUGUUACUGAUGCAUGUCAGACAACAACUAUUGUGAUAAGCAUAAACCAGUUUAUAAGAAACUCAAGUUUAUGUUAACCAAUCUGCAGAUGAAUUUAUUUUUAGUAAUAGUACCUACUCAAGUCUACAAAUGAUCUUAGCAAAACCAUUUUGCAACAUUAAGCAUAAGAGCACAUAGAUAUGUCAUUGAAGUUGAUAUGAUCAAUGUUCACCACCCAAUUGUUGGGUGAGAGUUGACGCAUGGGCGCCAAGCUGUCAGAAAAUGAUAAAACAAUCCAGCCAAUCUCGCCACAUCACCAAAAAUUAGAACAAAAAAUAUUCUAUGAAUCAAGGAUGACUAAGAUAAUGUUUCCCAAUCUAUAAACAGGGGUUCCACAAGGUACAGAGAGGUUCCACAAGAUAAUAUUCUUCUUCUUCUUCUUCUCCUACCCCAAGGUUCCACCUCAAACCAUUUGCAGGAAAGGCGCAAGAACCUGACCCUCGAGAUUCCUGCCACCAAAUCGAUUCUCAAAGUGCAGGAUAAUUCAAGGCGGUCCAGGUGAGAUUGUUCCAUAAUUCGGAUUGAUAACUGACCACCAAACCAACAGAAGUUAUUUUUGAAUUUUUUGUUCUCAAACACAGAUUAUUAUGCAUGAUUGAACCAUGACAGAUGCAUGCCAAACUUAAUAAAAAAGGAAAAGGUGAUAAUGACAGAAUCUUUUCUAGUCAAGAGUUGUUAAGAAUAUAAGGUAGUAUAACACAGAGGAAUAUAUGGAAACUGAAGACAGGUUCUUUGUUAAAUUAGAGAAGAUAUUCAAAUACUUCAUUCAUAAGCAUUAGCAUUAUCAAAAAGAAAGAACUUCAGUUUCCGACAUCAACCUGCAUAAGUAUCCUUUACAAAAUUAUCCAUUCAUGAGCAUAACAAAAGAUCAUAACUUACAAGAAUCAAGAAAUCCUUUGUCUGGCGAUUUUCAUCAUCAAUAUUACGGUCUAAGCUAUCACCUCGAUUAGCACUGCAAAUAGAAAGUUUGUGUUGCGAAAUAAGAUAUAUAGCAAAAUCUUCAUAACAACAUGACUACACACACACAGGAGCACCUCGAGUAUCACUCACAGCCUAAGCAUCUUGCCAGAGAAAAUCAUAAGGUUGUAAAUCAGAAUCAGAAGAACAAUCAACAUAUCAAGGAAAUCUAUAACUUAAGAACUUUGGAAAAGACCUUCGACCAAUUACAAAUCGGAUGACAACACCCUUUUCCUCAAGCUUCCUCAAGGCAUCGCCUGCAAAGGCAUGAAAUAGUACUUCACUAAAAUAUACACCGGAAAACUAAAUUGUAAAAUUCAUAUUAGUCACUGCUGUGUGAGCAUCAAGAUCCAUGUCCUUACAAGAUAGUAUGCAUUGAAAAGUAAGCUUCAACCCUUAAAGAUACUUUCACCAUAAAACAAUUGAACUUUAACGCCCAAAACCAUGAUACGUGGAGCUCAUUAAAUAAAUAGUGCAUAUGGAUGUCAAGCCAUGAUGGAAUGUAUAGCUUUUUAUCUUAUUUAUGCUAGUAGCAGUCACAAGCUUCGCGACGUUGUAAAAGACACUAAAUAACCUGUCAGUUAGUGCAUCCAAUUGAAACCAUCCAUUAAAAAGGCUUUAAGGCACUAAUGAUUUAGUUGCCAAUUACAUCGAAGAAAAGAAAAACUAUACUAAUAGUUCAUGGAAAUACUCCAACAACAAACCUCUAGGCAUCCAAGAACCCCGGAAUAUGUUCCUUUUGAUGCGGCUCCCAAAUCCUGUAUAAACUCCAACAACUGCGAGAAGCUUCUUCUCGGAAGAAGUCACAUUCCCCCUCAAAUAUCCCUGACUCUUCGCCAACGUCAAGUCCAUCUCGGCCUCCACUGUCUUCCGCCCAAUUUCUCUGUACAUUGACAGAACAUUUCGCCAAAAAUUUAGCUUCACAACAAUAGAGUCAUUCAAAAGAAGAAGAAAACGAAUAAUACUGAAAGAUCCAAAUCGGUGAAUCAAUUACUUGCAUCCAAGAUUCAGCAGUUUAUCUUCGACGGUAAGGACCUUCGGCAGCUGGAAUAUAUUUAGAUCAAGAUGAAGAUCAAAUCUCUGUUCUAUGUUCAUAAUCACUCAGAUCUCAAGGACGGAAAACCAACCGACGCAUACAUGGCCGGAAUUCUUCUGAAGCAGAUCUGACAACAGCAACCGGUUCUCCGCGUCUUGCCACAAUCUGAAUUCAAACGAAGAAGAAGAAGAAGAAAUCCGUCAAAACACGUCGGAUCAACUGGAUCGAAGAAAAAGGAAGCCGAAUAGCUGCUGCGGAGAAGACAAGAACGGACCGGCCGGCGACGUAGAGCCAGGCGAGGCAAGACAAGAAGCCCAUGACGAGGGGGGCUCUGCUCGAUUGCGAAGCGGAUGAAGACGAGGAGGAUUUGGGGUGGUGCGAUCUCCAACGCCGCUCCUGCUUCAUGGCGCUCGCCAGCGUCUCUCCGCCACGGAUCGGGAGGCGAUCGCCAGUCUCCAUCGUUCGCCUGCAGAGAACUGAGACGAGACCGCGAGUAGGUUGGGUUUGGCCGACCCGGGGAAACGGCAGCCGAGACGGGUGGUGGAGUUGGGUCAGCCUUCGUUGUCCGAGGCCUGCAACUUGUACUUGGUUUGAACUGGAACCCCCUUUGGAUUUCAAUCGGGCCGAAUUGGGCUGGGUUCGUUUGGACCGGGUUGGCAAAUCAAAUUCCAAUCAACCAAAUUUUGUAAUCAUGAUUAACUGUUUUCUAAUUCAAUUUAAAACGUAAUCAAGAUAUAAAAUUACAUUAAAGCAUGCAUGAUUUACUUAGCCAGACAAAACAAUAUAUUUUUUUAUAUUAUUUUAUGUAUAUUAUUUAUUUAUUUAGAUUCAAUAUCAGUUUUAUUGAAUUUAUGAGCAAUCUAUUUGAUCCGAGCAAAACUAUAUAUAUCCUUAGUAUUAACCAAAGUUAACUAUUUUUAUUUAUUUUAUUUUAUCUAAAUUAAAAUUAAUUUAAGUAUUAGAGAGAUCAAGUUGAGGAUGUCAUGACUUAAGUCUAUGGGUUAACUGGUCUAUCAACUUCAUUUGGUUUAAACCACGGAUCAAAAUGCUUUAAGUUGAAAUCAAAUCCUUAUAAGUCAAUCUUAACCUUAUCCACUUUCGAUGUGGAGCUAAUUAUGUUACAGAACAAGUCACCUAAUCCAAGCCUAGAGUGCCCACCCAAAUUUAUUAACCCAUAAUGAGCAUUUAAAUCAUCCCUUCAACCAUCUCUUAUACAUAUCAGCUUUAGUUUUAUUUUUUAAAAUAACAAUCGAUAAUCAUAGUCAGUAUUAGUUGACUUUAGUUUAUCUAACUAUGAAAAAUAAUAAUAAUAUUUGGACGGAAAUGAUCUCAAACUCAAACCUGAGAUCUAUUAAAUAUGAAACGUCAUUAAGGAGAAUGAUAUGUUGUCCUGUUGUAAACAUCAUAUUACUAUAUUAUUUCUAAGCUUUGAAAUGACAAAUAACACAAAGGUAAAGGGAAAACCCAAAUAACGAGAACAGGAAGAUAUGAUAUAGAAAUCUAAUUUUUUAUAUGACGUACAACAAACUAAAACAAAAGUAAUAAAGGGAUACUUAAUCCCCUAAAUCGCUUGACAGAACUCAUAGUUUAAAAGUUAAGAUGAACUGAUUUGAUUCAUCUUAUGUUAAUUUGGAUUUAAAUAUAGUUUAAUUGAAUAAUUAUAUGUAUAAUUAUAUUAUUCUUUUUUGUUGAAUUAUAAAAAAUUGAGUUGAAAUACAAUCGAGAUGAAAUUAAGUCAAAUUUGACCUAUAAAAACUUAUUUAUAAAAAAUAAAAAAAAGCCAAUUGAGAAACCAUUAUAUCAUGUUUUUUUUUGCCUUCGAUUACUUUGCCCUAGCGGACGGAGUUCGUCGCUUCUCCCACUCUUGCGUCUCGAGGUGGCACCUAGCUGCGGCGAAACUGGCGGUAUGUCUUCUCCUCUUCUCCUUCUCCACCUACCAUAGCGGCUUACAGUGGCAGCUAUCGUCCGUGACAGUCGUGAUUGCUACUGACCUUGCCUACAUCUCCUUCUCUGUCUCUUUUCUUUCGGGUUCUUGCCGUUCUACUUCUUGUUCAUCCUCCUAUUCUUCGUUACGGGGAUGGAUUUCUGAAAAUUGGCUGGAUACGGUGGAUCCCGAUCGGGAUUGACCGAUUUUUUGUAAUGUAACCCAGAAUUUGGCCCAAGUUGUGGUGUUUUGCGAGCCUUGGUUAGGGUUUUUCCAUCCUUACCCAACUAGUGAGUCCAGAAGUGCAACGAAGUUGUCUAAAACUGAACUAAAACAACUCUAGGUGCCUCUCGCUCUUUACUAGGUCGUAUAUUGCAUCAACCGUUGCUUGUAUGUUCAGAUGUAGAAUCUAGAUUCAGAACACGUUUGUAAUAGACAAACGACUGAUAUAUUUGUUUCAAGAGGAAGAUGAACUUCAUAGUGAACUGAAUAUGUUUUUCUAAUUACCAAGUUAUGCAGAUCAAGAUCUUGCAGGUUGAAAGACGAAGCAUUGUGAUGAAAUCUCUCUAUGUUUUCCAUUUCUGUGAUUCCAGAAUGGCAGAUGAUAAUGAUGUAAAAUUCUGCAUAUAGCUGAUAGUUAUUUUAGGGAGGAAAGGAAGAUAUUAAGUGAAGGUUGAUACCAUGAGUCACAUACAGAUUAGAGAUAUAGUUAAAGGAUAGAACUGCCAAUUGGCCUAAAAAUGAUUAUGCCUUUUUUCUCUGAUAAAAUUCCAUCUUAAAUCCUUUACGGUGAUGUAUACAACUUUGCAUGUGAUUCUGAAUAACAGGUUCUAUUCCUGAAUAAAGGGUGAGGGUUGUGUUAGGCUACCGACGACUUUCGUAGAACUUUUUCUAAUUUACCUCCGGGAAAUUCCUGUCAUUUAGUAGUCUAAAAAAAAUCUCAAAUUGGAAGCUGUAGUCAAAAGAGCUUGUUUGACUGUCAUUAGCCCUUUCCACUUUGCAUUUGCAGUCUCUCUAAUUUGUCAAUUGAAGCAGCAUAACAACAUCUAGCCUUUUAGUACAAUCAUAUGUUUUCAUCUUUUUUCAUUAUUAACUUUAUUUCAUUGUGGACACUUGAGAAGUACGUUUCUGUACAAACUUCUUUUCAAGUGUAACUAUUUGUCAGAUGAUUGAUUCAACCAUUGAUAAAAAUAAUCAACGUUGGUUUUAUUUAUCAUUUAUUUAACAAUUUUAGUAAUAAACAUAACCACUAUAUUAUUCUAAUUGAGAGAAGAACCUCUUGUUAGCAAUCCCCAAAAAAGUCUGUGCCAGCUUUCCUAAGAUUCAAAGAGUCAAUUUUCUCCUUUACCCACUAUGAAGGUGCUGCCAAGUUCUGUAAAUCAAAUAUACCUAACUCCUAAGUGCAUCCGUUAUACUUCAAAUCUUUUGACUGAAUUUAAGAUGGAAGAUAUAUUGCUACUUUUUACCCAGUUGAGAUCCCAUCAUUUCCAUAUGAUGGCAUUAGUUUCUUUGGUUAAUGAAACAAAGGCAUAGACCUCUUUUAAUCUCUUUUUUAAAGGAAAUGAGAUCGAAACCAGUAGGGAGAUUAUAAACUUUGUAGUAUUUUUAAGAAUAUAAUGCUAGAACAAAGGUUAUUGUGCUCAUUAUUGGGAUUUCACUUCUUUAAGGAAGCUGAUGCAAUGCUCCUUUGACAGUUUCUUUGUCCUGUUAACAACACUUCCACCAUUUCAUUAACAUUGUAGAGCUGCAUGAAUAUUAGUUUCUAUUGUGGAGUUAUUGUUACUAAUUAAUUUCUUGAAGUGACUUAAUUUUGGUUUCUUUUAAUUUUUGUGAAUGCAGGAACAGUUGCAAGGUUUAUUUUAGUUUGGUAGCAUACAGUAGGAUGGACUUCUUUGCUGGUGAAUGAUCCUGUAUAUAAGAGUUCACAAAACAGGAUUUGAUAUUUUCUGGUUAAAAGCAUGAACAACAAUCAUCUUGGUCCUGAUGUCCCUCUCAGGAAGUUGAUACUAUUGGCUUCCAGAAAUGAUUCAGAACUACAAUUCAUGUCUGAAGUAUCUAGAAAAAGAAAAGAUAUGGAUUCACUUCCUGAUAAUAAGAUAUCCAAUAUCGUGUUCCAUCCAGGAAAUCUGAGUCGGCACAUAGAGCACCUGCCACCUACAGAUUCAACAUUGCCACUUCCUGGACUUACACCUUCAUUAGGGGCUUCUCAGUCCAGAACUCAAGGAUUUCCUUAUGACAAUGAGUUUAUUUCUUCAAGACCUACCAAUGCACAAUCUCACUUUGGUGACCACCCAGUUUGUAGUAUGACUAGUACAUUAGGAAGCAUAUAUAUGAAAGGCGCAACUUUUAUGGAAUCUGCAAAUAAUAGUUCUGAUUCCUUUGCACUCCAACAAAAUGAACAAUUUGUUAUGGCAAAUGUAACUGCUCCACAAGUUUCUGUUUCAACUGAUGCAAGAAGUUCCACUGAUGGUAUUGGCAGGCAAGCAGAAUUAAGUAAUCUGCAGUCAUACGUUGGGAUGAAUCUGGGCCAUAUUAAUCAAAACAUAAGUUGCACGGAGGCAUAUCUGACUGCUCAGGGAUCAUAUACUGGCAUGAACUUAGGAUAUGAGAACCGUGAUUUUACAAGUAAACCACUUUCAUGCUCUAUGCCUUCUCCAUGUUUACAAUCUGUUGAACCAUCCAAAAUGAAGCUGUUUAAUAAGUGUUCUGACUUGGAUGGGGAAAGCCUUGUUAAGGAUUUUAAGGAAAGUGAAAUAACUAGAACAAAUGGCUGUUGUCAGUAUACAGAUAUUGCUGAUGAUAGUAGUACCACAAAAGACACUCCAAAUUCUGCAGAAUCAUAUUCAGUCAACAAGGGAAAAGAGGAUCGUGGUUCUCACCAGAAUCCUAGGACCUACAUAACACAAAGUAAUCAUCUUAACCACCUAAAUUUUAGCAAUAAAGAGCAGACCCAGAAAGUCAUGAAUCACACAUCUGUUCCUGUAGAUUCUUCUAAUCGUGAAAAAAAAACAUUUAUAAGAUGGUGAUUAAAAACAUAUUUCUGUGGCUUAUGAAUAGUUUUGAAACAAUAGUUCUAAUGGUUCAGUUUUGAAACAAUUAUUUCUAAUAGUUUCUGAAACAAUAGUUUUGAAAGAUACUGAUGAUUCAAAACGCAAGAAUAAAAAUUAUUCCCUAGAGAGCCAAAUUUCAGUAGUUGAGUUUUCUGAUGAUCUGCCUUCUCAUAAUUCAGAUGAACAGAUCAAGUAUGUUGCUGAAAAGAAUUCUUCAGUUCAUACUGAAAAGCUGUGGGAUGGGUCACUUCAGCUAAACACUUCCACAACUGUGUCUACAGUUGCCUUCUUUAAGAGGUUCCUUAAUUUACUUGAAUCUUAUCUUACUGUGGCAUAUGAAUAUAUUUACAUAUACGUUCAACGAUUUGAUUCUCUUCCAUGGAUUGUCAUGUCUAUUCAACUCAUUUGUUUAUGCUAGCAUAGUCUUUCUCUAGAAACCAAAGUUUUUCGUAGAGUUUGUACUGAGUUUAACAACUAGUUUUGGUUGAUGUGGUAAAUUUUGGAGUGAUAUACUCACUUGAAAUGCAAAGAGUCAUCAGAGAGGGUAUGCACUAGUUGUUAUGAUGUUAGUUUAUAGGCUCUUGCGACUAGUGUUUUUAAAAGCGCCAGGUGCUAAGGUCCCGAAAUGUUUGAGACGCUAGGCAUCCACUCGAGUAAAGCGAGACACACCGGAAUAUUAAAUUUUAAAUAAUAUAUAUUAUGAUUGAUAAAUAUGAUCAUAAAAAGAAAAAUGACAUAUCAAAUUGAAAUCAUAUAAACAAUGACACAUCUAUGUAAUGUUUUCAUAUCAAUGUGAUAUAUACGGCUAAACAGAAAUAUGCUAAACAGGUUUCUAGCCAAUGUUAACAGUUCUAAUCGGUGCUAAACAAUUCUAAAGAGUGGAUCAAUAUGGUGCUUAACAGUUCUAACCAAUGCUAAACUGUUCUAAAGAGGGAACUGAGAAGAGGAGCAUCCGGUGGUUGUGGAGGAAGAUGGGGGAAGGAGAGGGCUGCGGAUGAAGUUGUGGAUGAAUGUAGCGACGCACCGAUGACGGACAUAUGGUUUCACUUCGGGUUUGUCUCACUAGGUCGGACGUGGGUUUUGUGUUGUGAUACAUUAGUUUGUUCAAUUGAACUAACUUGUUCUUUCAAUCAAACCAAGCUUGAACCCAGACUCAACGCCACUUGGGUGCUCGCCCGAGUCGCCCAAUGCCUGGGCUUAAGUGAGUGCCCAAGAAACACCAUUGAAAUGCCUCGCCUGGAGGUUUUGCAAAUUGCUUGGACCUUGCCUCGCCCGAGUGCCUUUUGAAAACACUACAUGUGACCCAUAUCACCACUCAGGACAUUUCUUUGUCAGUUCGGAGUUGGCUGAGGGUUUUAGUUUCAUCUUAUGGAAGAGAUGAAAUAUUUAUGAUUGGCAUGGGUCCGCAAGAGUUGCAUUUGAGCUGGUAUGGACUAUGAGCCAUGCUGGCCCUGUGUUAGUCUGAGUUCAUUUUGGUACCAUGUCAGUAAGGAAUGUGCUGGAUAGCAUGAAUUGCAAUGGCCAAACACAUGCAUUCCAUGGGUUGGCUAUGGAGCAAUUCUGCUAAUCAAGAUCGCUUUUGGGAGGAUUUGUCAAAAUACAUUGAUGGCUAUCAGAUGGCUACCUAUGAAAUUGGUCCUAUAACACUAGGAAGAGAAGCCUAAGCUGGUGAGAGAUCUGCAUGGGAACCCAAAAUACUAGUUGAUGGCUUGAAGGAUUUCAUCAUGUUGGUUACAAUAAAAUAUAAUGCAACAAAGGAAAAAAUCAUAUAGAAUUACCAGAAUCCGGGAAGAGUGCAGUAGGAAAUGACAAUCUUAUUUUGAGGAGACAAAUUCAUGUGAAUGCUAAUUAUCCAAGCACCACAAGAAGAAAAAAGUUUAUAUGUAGUCAUCUACAAAGGAUGUCAUACAUACCAUGUAAUUCUAGUAUACAAGUAGUCAAUAGAAAGUCUGCUCAAAGUUCAACAAAAGAUUAGUAAAAAAACCUUGUUGUGAAUGAUGAGGGGAGGUAAAUUGGCUAAUCUCUAGAUUGCUGUAACCAUGUAGCGGCAACCAAUCUGAUGUCUUGGAUUGUACACAGCCUAAACAAAUGAAAAAAAUUGCCUAUUAUAUUGCGCAUGGAAGUUUGUUGCAUUGAUACCUUUAAUAGGCAAAGAAAGGUUAACUAAGAAGGAUAUGAAGGUUUGCAGGCUCAUAUGUUCCAUAACCACUAAACUUUCAAAUAUAUGAUAAUGGUGUCUAAUAAAGAAAAAAAAAAAAACCUAAGUUAUGCUUCUGACACCACAUCAGGCCACAAAAACAGAACUAAUGAAUAACCAAGGAAGCAGCACAAGAAUCUGCAGGUACAUGAAGAGUAGCAUUGUUAAUGUUGACCUCACGAUCAUCUUAAUAUGCACAAUGGUUGCUGGCAGUCUGCUGCCAUAAAAGUGUUCCAGUUCUGCUAAAGGAAGAGGAACAUUAAACUUUAGUGACCAUUCAUAUCAGUAACUUGAUGGUUAAGUAAUAAAGUAGAAAAUAAGUUUCGAUUCACCAUAUUAAAUAAAGACCUCGAACCUCAGAGAUAAGCACUCCCAUCUAACAGGAGUAAAACUAUAAUUCAUCACGUACACUAUCUUUCAUUCUGCAAUCAGAUGUAUACUGAAUUCAGGUCUUAAGGGAGUGAAGGCUUGUGUUAGAAGAGGUCAUAUUAUAGGUACUUUAUGAUAAAACUUAACAUGGAAUUUGUUUUUUAUGUUGGUUUACUAUCUAGACCUCAAAUAUUUUAUUGAUUUACUAACUUGUCUCACUAGAGUUUCUUUUAUGCUCUUAUUUGCACAAAGUUGAUUGAUGGAAUCAUGGAACUAAAAGAUAUCCGUGGAGGCUUGUAGCUCUUAAGUGAUUAGAUUCCCUUAAGCCAUAUGCAUGUCCAAGAACAAUUAAGAAAGGCGAAUGUGGGUGUGGCUCUCAAAGUAUCAUAUAGGUUUAAUUAUAAUCAUUGCUGAAGGUAAUCUUAGUUAUUAAAACAAGCACAAUUCAGGAAAGCAAACCGUUGAGUAACAUGAAUGCUAUCAGUGAGAUGAAUUAUGAAGGUUAAUUGUUCUCAAAUAUUCAAAUUGAAUAACAUAACUUCUUCCUCUGACUCUUUUUACUCUAGUUUGGAGAGUAGCCUUGCUUCAUUUCAACUACGAAUAAAACUAAGUUGCUUUGAAAACAAAGUCAUUCAAACUUUGGUAAAGCCAGAACUCAAAGAAUUCAGUUGUUUUACAGCAUCAUUGCCAAUUUCAAAGAUUAAAUUAUCAUGUUUUGAAAUCCCUGUUAAAAUUUCUGUAGUACACUCUUCAAUAAUGAACUUAAGAAGGGAAUGUGGCAGUUAACUGUGCAGGUUUGCGACUUUGCGUAUAUGUUUCGCUACCAAUGAUUAAUCCGAACCGACUUCAGAGACUUGGUUUUUCAUGUAUAAAUCAGAGCCUACCAAAAUUAGGAGAGUUUAAAGUAAAGGCACAUCAAAACAAGAGUUAAAUUAAUAAGUGAUUGUGGUCUUAGUAGUUUAAAUAUGCAGUGAUUUUUAGAUCAUUGUGUAUUAUUUUUUAUUUGUUUUACAAAAUUUGCUCUUUGGUGGAGGUAUAUUUGGGACUGAUAGAGUCUCUGACUAUAGUUUCAUAAUUGCUGGUCGUGUUCAAAUGUGUUUGGAGAUUCAGUAUCUUGUGGCCUAUAUUUUUGAAGGAUUUAAACAUAUUUUAUAUAAGAUUAAGGUUCAAGAACUCACCUUACAAAUUAAUUGGAUUUGUAUCUUAGACUUAAGAUAACAUAGGUUUGACUUCCAAAUAACGAGUUCUGGUGAAGUCAGAGCAUAUUUGAAGGCAUGGUUCCACCAUUAGAAUAAUUUGAAAUGACUAAAAUUUGAAGUAAUAAGAUGCUAUUGUCUACUUUUAUCAAAUUACUUAUCAUGGAAUGAACUGAAAGAUUCUGCAUUAUCUUCAGGCUCUCGACUUACCAACAGUUGGUAGGCCUAGGGAAAUCUAGUAUUCUACCAGCUUAUUGAAAUGAUAGCUCUUUGUUCUUUAGGCAGUUCAUCUAAUCAGCACAACCUUAUGAUUCUAAAUCUUUAAUCAAUUAACGUGCCAACUGACUAAGUUCAAAAUUUUAGAAAACAUUUUAAUUUUUGAAUAGCUCUGAGUAUACAAACAUAUGGGUGAUUGUGUUGCCUCAUAUUCAAAUUCAAUCAAUCAAAUCAGUUUUAGAAGAUCUAGAAAGGUCCAAUGAAGAUUAAAUUCAAUGAAAAAUGAAACAUUUUGAAUUUUUUUUUUAUGGGAAUUCUGAUGAGUCAUUUAUAUAUUUAAUCCAAUUUGAAUAACAAAAUAAGGUUUAUUUUUCAGGAUAUUUAGACAUCAUUAUUUGGAGCAGAAUAUUUAAAAUAGUUUGGCUGAGUUAUACAAACAAUGUAGUUUUAGCUUUAAUGACUGGUUACUUAACUGCUCGUGUUAUAAAGAACUAGUUGCUACCAGAGGCAAAUUGUUUAUAGAUCAUAUUUUCAAUAGAAUUCAAUGCUUUAAAACAAUUUUUCUUCAUUUUAAAUUAGUUCCAGUUGCUUAAAUCCACUCUGGAAAUUGGAUUGAAUCUCUCCAAAGGUUCAAGAAACUGAAAAGUAUAAGAUCUGAAGACUAAUUUGAGAUCAAUAGCCGUCAGCCAUCAAAUUAAAAAUUUAAAGUUUAAUAACAAACUUAAUAACAAACUUAAUGCACUCAAAAGUUAAUCAAAUUUGUUCUGGAGGUUGUGUAAACAUCAUAGUUUUAUACACAACAUUUAAUUGGAUUAUUGUGCCAAAGUUUAGGUGCUCAGGAAUUGGUUUGAAUUAAGGAUUGCUAUAUAAUGGCAUGGGAGCGUGCUAAUACUUCUUUGGCAUGGUACAAUUUCAUAUCUUCAAUCAACACACCCUUGUACCGGUCAGUACAAGCUAAAAGUUAGCCUACCAUUUGUUGGCAUCCAUGACACAAAUUGUCAUGGUGCCUAAUGACCAUUUUAGAUCAUUACGUUUUGGCAUGACACUCCUCUCAAGCAAUAUAGGAAGAAGUGGGUUUAUUUAUCAGCUGCUUUGGUCCAAGUUAAUCUAGUUAGAAAUUAGAACUUUACAUUAGGUUCCACAAAAUAACCAAUAUGAUACUUUUAAUUAUGAUACUUUUACAAUUUAUUUUGUUCCUUAUGUUAGAUCCCUUGUAUUCUACACAGUCUGCUGGUUGGCCAGGGCAAUUUGUUAACUUGCCACUUGGAAUUUAUUUAAAGGGCCAUUGUAACACAGAAUUGUGUUGGAAUGAUAAACUUGAUAUUUAGGCCCUCUCAAUUAUUAAAGGAAUUAAUUCAAAGAUUCUCGUACAUUUAAUUUUUUAAAUAUGAAAGUUUACAUAUCUGCAUCCCGGCAUUCAUACUUGAACGUUCCCAACCUUUAGUUAAAAUUACUACUUAAGAAGUUGGCCAGAAACAAACUGAUAAAAAAAUUCUUUGAAUCAUCUGAGUUACUUGAGCAUUGCUCCAAAGAUCUGCCCAAGUUUUGCAAGUUUAUCAAAAAAAUCUGUCAAUUUAAAUUCUUCUUCAAUUCUCUAGAGUCAUUAAAAUUCAACAUCAUGCAAUUACCUUUGAUUCCUUUCAUAGGAACUGGAGAUCUGAUCAAAUUGGUAAAAAAACAACCAUUACAUUGUUUACCUGAUUGAUUACUUCUUGUCUUUUAAAGGUUGCUGGAUAUUAUGGGUCAAGUAAUUCUGUCAAUAUUUGGUGAACAUGUGCAACUUAAAUUUUGAACUUCACUUUUCCCAUAUUGAAGGGUUAAGAAAUAUUUAAAUCAAAGAUGAUUAAGAAAUAAAAAUUGAUAGGUUUUGCAGAUUGAUAUCAAUUUUUCAAAAAUAAUUUCACUCACGCCCAACAUUUAUGAUGAGCUGUUGUUCUGCAGUUGUAACUGCACUAAAUUCAACUAGUCUCACUCUUUGUGAAAACCAAAUGAGCUAACUUAUGAGUAAUGAAAAUCUUAUAGAUCUUAAUGCUUUAUGCAGCCUUCAGGCUCCCUUAAAGGAUCAGAAAUACCACCAUGAAAAUCAAUUUUUGCUCAACAUUGAAACAUGAUAUCAAGGGCCAUGCCAAUUAAUUAGAUAAGUCAGAAAUCUGAGAACCAUUUUAUUUUUUUAAAAAAAUCUAUGAAUAUAUACAAAGAGAAAUUAUCAACUUUAAUGCCCCAUGAUAGUAUAUUUGCCUCAAAGAGACAGUUACAGGCAUAUUAUAAACAUCGAGAAGUAUGUGCUCCUUUAAAUGUAUUGUUCAUAUGCAUGUUCUAAAAAAAAAGGAGAAGAGCAACUCUGUGUGUUUUUCGAACUAUAGUUAUGUGGUAUAAAUCACCAAUCAUCUCCCUUCAUUUAACCCCAUAAAGGUACUGUCAAGAGUCGACAAAUUCUAUUGGAAUCAAGUUGUUCUUGGUGCCUACUUCUCGAUGGUCCAUGCAGGUUACUUUUAAGCUUUUUGGGUUAUAUGUUAUCUUUCAUCUAGUAUAUUACUUUUCUAAAUCCAUAAGAGUAAGCCAUGUGAAUCUUAAAGUCACCAAUGCAAAUAGUUUGAAGAUGGAGUGGAUCAUAGUCAUUGGCGGGCAUUAAAUUUUAACUUAUUUCAGAGUUCUAUGCAGCAACUAAAAGGAAUUAUGAUCAGUGAAUUGUAACCAAAAUGUGUGUUCACACAGGAUAGUGCAAGAGAGAGGCCUUUGUUAUACCAGACAAUUUUAGAUGGAGAAAAAGAUAUCCACAAAACAGAACUUUUACAUGGCGGCUGAAAUCAUGCCCUAAUUGUCCCUAGAAGAAUCUUAAGUUCCUUUUUGCUUUGAGUUUUUUUUCAAAUUAAUGACCUUUUACAUAUAAUCCCUAUUUUUCUCUCUUUGAUUAUAAAAAUCUCUUUCCUUUGCUUUAUUUGCAAUUUGAAACAUUGAUUUCUCAUGAAAUCUAGAAAAAGACUUUGCAAUUGCAAUUGCAAUCUGCUACUGUUAAUCCGCUACCUUCAACGAGAAACUGUCAAAAUUUUGUGAAUAGUUAUUUGCUUCUGUUAUAUCUUUUUAAAAUUAAUGACAAUUAAUUAUAAUAUUCUAAUCAUCUUCAUUUCUUCCAUCUCCUCUUCCUCCAUUGUUUCCAUUGCUGCCUCAUGUGACUUGCUUCAUUAUCAGUAUCACUUCAACUUCAUUUCCAUUGCUUUCCCACCUCACAUGCAUGCACCAUCUUCAGCAAUGCUGUCCGUCCUCCUCGACCUCAACUAUUACCACCUGGCUACCUCCUCUGUAGCCACUAGUUGCUGGUUCUCCUAUGCUAUCUUGCAUGAUUGAACCUUUGUGGUUGAUUCAAAAAAAAAUUGUGCUGAAAGUUCUGUUCAUUAUUUGUCAAAUAUGCAAUGCACAAAGCAUCUGUAAGUCGUUAUCUAGCAAAUAAAUAAUAUCAACCGAAAAUGGUUAUACAAGAACAUGAUAAGCUACUAAUUUGAUCAAAAGUGACUAUUUAUCGGACCUAGGAACGCAAGUUGCAUCAGUGUUACACCCAAAGAACCUUAAAAGCAAAAUCCUUGCAAUAGUUGUGAUGAUCAUAAUUGGUUGUAGAUACUAGCUAUUAGCUUCUCAGAAGUUUUAUAUGCUUCUUGGUACUAAACCAUGCUAUGUGCAAUUUUUGUGAUAGGUAAAUACAAAAUAUGGUUGAGACCCAGAAGUCUAGUAACAUGUAUAGAAAGGUAUAUAAAAGUCGAAUCAAUUGAGUUGUUAAUCACUGUUAUCCUCAUGUUUUGAUCUUUAGUCACUCACAAGCUUUUCAGGGUACUCUUAAGCUCGAAAACUAAAACUCAGAAAAUUAUUCAAGAACUUCCUUUACACACCGAACUAAUCAGUAUGAAGAACUUUCAAAGAAGUUAUAUCUCCAUAUAAAUUAAAUGUGAAAAGAGUAUGUCAAGGUGGUUUACUUUAUAAGACUAAUGCCUCUGCAAGUGCAUGGCAUGGAGGCUGUGCGGAGUGUACAUGUGCUGCAUAACAGCAUAUGCCAUGCUGGCCAAGGACCACUGACCGUUAUUGGAUUGAUACAGUUUAUCUUUGUUGUCCUCUUCAUGCUCAGUAUUGCACAAAUUCAGUGAAAAUCUCAGUGGAGCAUUCAGUCCACUUUUUUCACCUUGAAUAUUUUGUGAAGAAAAGUGUUCCAUGUACUUUUCCAUGUUAUUUCUUCUCACUGCUCCUUUUUUGUAGUGGUGAGAAGGCUCAAGAUAUAAGAUGGUGCGACCUUUUGGAAGUUAAAGGAAAAGUGAGACUGCAGGCAUUUGAAAAAUUUAUUCAGGAGCUUCCUCGCUCUCGAACACGUGCUUUAAUGGUGGGAUUUUUUUUGAAUAAUCAGUAAAUGACAAGAGCUGGCUUGCAAAAUGAUCUGUAGAAUCUACCUAAUUUGCUAAAUUUAGUGUGCCUGUGAUAAAUUUUGCGCAAGUUACUAAUUUGGAAUUUUGUUAUAAGCUCCAUAAUGACUAUAUUCAUGCAUUGUAUAUACAUGCAUUUAUGUAGGAGUUUCUUGGUUUUGUGAAUAGUCUGAUUUAUAGAUCAUGUAGCUAAUGCAUGGGAUUUAAAAUGAGUAUGCCUGGUAAAGAAAUCUUUCAUUUAAGUGAUUGAUCAAGAAAAUCAAGUUCUUUAAACAUAAAGUUCCUUAAACAUACUAUUGUAUUUGUAAGUGUGUGUUGAAAAUUUAUAGAUCAAUUAUCUAAUUUGCAUAUUUCUAAGACCUAUUUGCUAUUUGAUUCUCAAGGUUAUGAUAUUACCACCAUCAAGCCAUGCUUGGAAAGAAUAAGCCAGUGAAAACUUAAAAGUCUUGUCAGCGAUGAUGAUUUUGUGUCUAAUCAAGAAUUUUUAAAUUGCUCUAAUUAAUUAUUCUAUCUGGUGAAUGCUGAUAUCAGUCUGCAUUCUUCAAUAUGUCAUGUGCUUCAGGUGAUUUCCCUAUGUUGGAAAGCUGGGUCAUCCAUAUCUGGCCUGACAGGUAUGAAGGAGGUAAUGCCAAAAACCUUUGUCAGGAAUUUAGUUUUUCACUAGCAAUUUUGACCAUAUUAAAUUGUUGGUACUGCAAAAUUUUAUCUGAUUACAGGUUGCUAAAGUUUACCAAGAGAGUGAGAGGGUAGGGUUUGCACAGAUCUGUCCUGGCAUUGAUCUUUAUGUCUGCCCUCGAAGUGAGACCAUAAUAACAAUACUUGCAAAAUUUGGGUUCUUCAAGGGCAUGGCAGCAGUUGAAGAAGAUCAGAAUUCUCUAAUUGGUUGCGUUGUAUGGCGUAGAGGCUGUCAGUCUUUGGAUUCUGCUUCAAAAGCAUCAGAUAAUAAAAUAAAUUCUUUAGUAGAGAAGGCACUUAGCUCAUCUGAGGAGAUUCUAGAAACAAAUUCUCCAGUACUAAAAAAGCAGGAUGAGCAUAGUAAACAAACUCUCCUAGGCACAAGACAACAUGAUGGUAUGCAGUGCCAACACUUACCUGAAACUAGGUCCAAUAAUGCUGACAAUGCAAGUCAUAUGAGAACUGAAAUCAAGUCAAGAGAAAGUUCAUCUGUUGAUUGUAGUUCAAAAUCAGUUAGUGUUCUGCAUAUUGCCUCUUCACUACCUUAUAACUCUCCUAUUGCUCCAGUUCAAAUUUCUCCUCCACAAAAGCAGGAAUUGAGGUCGAAGGAAUGCUUAAAGAAUCCUCUAUUGUGUGCUGUCGAAGGAAGACAAACUGUCCUUGGUUCAGAACCAGCAAGAUCACUUCUCUUGCAAUCAUCUCAAAUGCUCCCAGAUAGUCAUCAGAGGAACAUUACAUGCAGUGAAAGUUCAACUUAUCCUAGUAGUUAUCCUGAUACUCUUAUGCAGUCAGCUCCUUCAAUGCCGUCUGGUUCUAUUCCUGUUCGACUACAAACAACACAAAAACCUUUCUCAAGUUCUCAAGAGGACCCUACAUCAAGUGUUUCAAAGGAUGAAAAUUAUAUAAUGCACUUCAAAAAAUCAGAAGCUCCUGCAACAAGUUCUGAACCAAGCCAAACCACUCUUCCUGGACCACCUCCUUUGCCACCAGAAGUUCUCAAGCGAAUCAUUCAAGCUAGAGCAGCUGCUGUGGCUAAGGUUAGUACAUCUAAAAGUACACACUUAAGCUUUUUCCUUAACUCUCUUUUAUUCUUGGAUUGCUGCCUCGCAUCCCGCCUCUCUUUUAUUCAUGGAUUGUGUACAUCUAAAAGUACACACUUGAGCUUCUCCUUAGCUCUCCUUAACUCUCUUUUGCAGGAAACUAAUAAAGGUGUUGUCAUGGUUGAAAUCCCUGUUGGGCAUGUUUCUGAACCAAAGAAAUUUUCCAUGGUUAUUGGGCCAAGUCCUGUUCUUCCUGGACCACCUUUGUCGUUGCCACAAUCUUUGAGUGUCUGUCCAAGCCCUGUCGAUGUGGAUGAUUUACCAGAAUUCGACUUCAGUUCAACAUCCAAAUUUAUAGAAUCCCCAGGAAACAAAUAUCCUUGGUCCAGUUAUCCUAUCUCAGAAGUUCAUCCAUUCAAUAAGCAACUCCCAAGUGAUAUGGGCCAUAAUUUAACACCUCAUGGAUCAACUACUAUGCAGCCUAUAGAAGCUAGUCAAAGACAUCAGUUUUCAUAUUUUCCGGGAGAGGCAACAAACUACUAUCAAGAGAAUCCCAAACGAACAAAAUUUCAGAAGCCCAUUGUAGAUAACAAGGUUGUAGUCAGGACUUCACUGUCAUGUGAUCAACCAUCUUUAGAUGCUGAUCAGGGUUCAAUUGACCCAAGAUAUAGUAGCAGUUCUCUAAGAAAGUAUUGCUGGGAUGAUGAUGAUGAUGAUGAUAUGCCUGAGUGGUGUCCCCCAGAUCUAGAACAUGUUGACCGAACCCAAGCAACCACUGCUGUCAAUCUGUCAUCCCCUGUGCAUAAUUGGGACUUGGAAUUUGCAAGGCGGCGUUCCUUCAUCUCUCCGCUCUCAACAUCUUCAUGCCCCCCAGGAAUCCACAGUCUUCCUCGUGGUUACCUGCAUGGAAGACAAGGUUCUUCUCCCCUCAACCACAAUCCCACUGCACCAGUUCAUACGAGAUCAGCUGCUGGAUUUGAUCAUUCCAUUCAAAGGACACCUUUAGUGCAACAUGUAACCAAUUUGUCCGGCUAUCAGACCAGCAUGAGCAACAAGAUACCUUCAGAUAUCGGCAAUAGGUUUCGAAGGCCUUGACGAUUGUCGACUCGGGUUCACAUGGCUGAAAAUCCACCUGUCAAGCUCUCUAUUUUGCGUACAUAUUUAACUUGUAGAAAUUAAGAGAUAUCUAAAUUGUGCAGACAUUCGAGGAUGUGUUGUGCUGAAAGCCUUGUAGAGUUGGUAAUGCUGUUAAAGUUGUUUUAGGAUCCUUCUGAGCUUGGCUAUAGUUAUAUAUAUCAUUAGAUGUUAUCUCAAAGGCUCCUUUGAGAUUGUUCCAAGCAGCAGCCUACAUGUGCACAUAUGCAUCUUUUAUCUACGGUUGCAAAGAACAUACCUUUUGCAAUAAUUUGCAAAUGAAGUUCUCGCAAAUAGAAUCUCUGAUGUGAUUAUCACUGCCAUUUGUGUUUUUUUUUGUUAUAGCGAGAACAUUGAUGAAAUUGAAGGGAUUUGCUGAUACAGAGAUUGGGAGAAGGAAAAUGACCUCUCUUGAGUGCAAUUCUAAUUUUUUUUUUUUGGUUAGUGGCUUGAGAAAUCUGUUUCCAAGUAUUGCUAGUGUUGAAAUGAAUCAAGCUAUUGGCACCCUGCAUCUGGUUUGUUCAGUCUAUUGCUAGGGUUCCUCUGCAUCUCAAGUUAUAGGCCUGCUCACCUAUUACUGCUGCCUCAAGGCACCCCCAAACGAAGCUAACACAUGGAUAUAUGGCAAUCCUCUACUUGUCCAUUUUCCCUACCAGACAUUGAUAUGAUAAGAGAAUCGUUUAACAUGAUAAAAAUAUGUGCUUAUGAGACCGUGAAUGUGAUAAUUAGAAAAGGUCAAUAGAAACUAUUGAGACCUAAAAAGAUCUGACUAGAAAUCAUAAACAAAGAGAUAUAUAUAUAUAUAUAUGUAUAUAUAUAUAUAUGUAUAUAUAUAUAUGUAUAUAUAUAUGUAUAUGUAUAUAUGUAUAUACAUAUAUAUGUAUGUAUAUAUGUAUGUAUAUAUAUAUGUAUAUGUAUAUAUGUAUAUACAUAUAUAUGUAUGUAUAUAUGUAUGUAUAUAUAUACAUAUACAUAUAUAUAUAUAUGUAUAUACAUAUGUAUGUAUGUAUAUAUGUAUAUAUGUAUGUAUAUAUAUAUAUACAUAUAUAUGUAUAUAUGUAUGUAUAUGUAUAUACAUAUAUACAUAUAUAUAUAUAUAUAUGUAUAUACAUAUAUAUGUAUGUAUAUAUGUAUUUACAGUCGUCGAGAGACUGGUACGGGUUUUUCUUCCCUUUCCUUUGCUCCCGCGAUGUAGAGAGUGUCGACCACUGUUUUGGCCGAGUGUGAUUUCUCGAUCGACUGGGAGAUGACGCCCAAGGGCGUGUUGCUGUUGCCGUUGUCUAAUCCGCCUCUGUCUCCGCCGCUACGGGAGGGCAACGCAUGACCAGGCGAAGCGCCUUCGCCGCCUUCUCCUACGUGGCCUGCGCGCCGGUAUGUCCCCUCUUUUUGUCUUGUUCGAUUUGGAAUUCCUUUGCGUUGUGCUCGAAUGGUUCGUUCCUUAAUGCUCCUUUGCUAUGGAUCCUUAGAAAAGGGUUUGUGUUGUUUACAGUUGAACAUAGAUCUUUCUUGGUUCUGUUGUUGUCGUCAAUCUGUUCCAAAUGUAGAAACGCCGGACCUUCUCUUUGUUCGACACCUUUGUUCUCAGUUCCAAGACUUUUUCUUAUCGUGGGUGUGCGCUCUUGCGUGGUGCUACAGAGUUGACGCUCGUCCGCAAUUUGAUCUGGCUUCAGAAGAGAUUUUUGGCAAUGAUUGUGUGAAUUCAAGUCUCAAGUUAUGAUCUUGUUCAUGAUUUUGCAAAAACACCAACAAAUUAACGCAGACUGAAACGGAAUCUUUGUACUGUUUAGAACAAUUGAAUCGUUUCUGCUGAUAGAAAUACAAUAAAUAUAGGUUGAUCUUUUCUCUUGUUGUUGUCAAAAGAUACCGGUCUUGUCUAAACAGACAUUACUGAGAAACCAUUGCUUAGUUAAAGUUAAUGGAAAGGUGUGAAAAGAUACCGAAAGGUGGAUGAUAGAAAGAAGUGGAUUUUUCACUCUAUAAGCGAGCUGGCUUACCUUGUCUGCCUGGCACAAAAUUUUGUUGCUCAUGAUAGGGUUAAAGAUUAAGGACUCCCAUGUUCUAAUCUUUGAACAGAUUUGGAGUCGGCACAGAUACUGUAUGAUGUUGAUGAAUGCAUUUGCAUUAUAAAAAUGGGAACUAAAAUGUGAUUUGAAGCUUAUUGGUUUAGCAUUGUCGCAUGUUAUUGUCAACAAAAAUGUAUGUUAAAAUCAUAACAUUACAAUGUUUCUUAUUGGUUUAUCAUUGUCCGUUCUCCUAUGUUUAUCAUCUCAUUUACAAUUUGUUUUGUUGCAACUUUUGCAGUGCUUCUGGUUCCAUUCAUCAAAGCUGCUCUAUCCUCGUAUGGUUUCCCCUGUGCUAAUGUUAUUACUCUUUUGAGGUAUGCUAUAUCUUCUGUAAUUUUUGCCGAGUAGUGACUUGAGCAUCUUAAGCUUUGUAAAAUGAAUAUUACAAGUCACUUAGUGCAAGUAACACAAUAGGUUUAUAAUAUCAUUGCAGGUUGAUCUGAAACCCUACUCAAUAAAGAUAGAAAUGAUAAGAAACUAAUCGAUAAUAGGAUGACAUUGACUGGGUUUUACUAGUUAAUGAUGGCAAAACUGCAUUAAAUCUAGCUGAAAGGAAUAUAUGAAGUAAAAGUGAGAAAGUUGAUGAAACAGUGAAACAGGCAGAAAUCAUGGACGAGGCUAAGCCUUUGAUGGGUGCUUAAAAGCAUAUUUGAAAAAGAAAAUUCUUUAUUAUUUACCUUCUGAGAGACCUAUGAUCCCUCUAUUUUACAAAGAUUAACCAUACACCUUUUUACUCAUCCUAAGCCCACCAAACCUUCAACAAGUCCUUAAGUAAUGUAUUUUAAUAACCUUGAACUGCUCAUCAAUUGAACUCCUAUUCCAAUUCAAAUAAUUUUAAAAGUGCAAUGUGUUGGACCUUCACUAACACUAAGCAGUAUUUAUUAAAAGGUUUCUUCAAAAAGUGUAUAAAAUAGAGAAAAUUGAACUUAAACCACAUAUGAUUCAAUUCUAACUUCUAAGCAUGUAUGGAACUCGAACCAACCCUUUCUAGAAAUGGUUGCCUCAUUUAUCAUUUAGACUGCCACAUCUUAGUUGGAUAUAGAUGUAGGACAGGUUCUUUUCGGGUUUUAGUUGUGGCCUGGUAAAAGUUCAUCCUUGUCAAAAUUGAUAUGAUUUUUUUUGUGUUUUUUAUGUGUUCUUAUCAUUUUAAUUGUUGUUUCAGAAUGUCUUUAGAGAUUAUUUUAGCAUCUUCAUGGUAAAGAGCCCGCUUGUGGAUACAGCUUGGUCUAAGAAAGUUAUUAAGCUAUAAGGAUAUGAUCUUGGACAGAGAUGGGGCCCUUGACAUGGGACUUAAUGGGGGAUUGUUAAGUUUCUGAAAAAGGUAAACUCUUGUCUCAUUCCCUGUUAGAUACAUCCAUGCAUUAUAGUUCAUCCAAGAUGGAAUACUUACUCUUCAUUAGAUACUUCAGUCUCUGGAGUACUAGUUGUUUAAAUUCUUGAUUUUGAUAAAAACCAAGUUAAACCAAGUCAUUUGGAGGUCCAGGAUUUCAUAGCAUAGCGAUUAAUGGCUCCCCUUGACAUGCAUGCUUUAAGGUUUAAGGUUCUCAAUAAGCAGCUCGGGUGAAGAUCUAACCAGGUUCUCAAAAAGCAGCGAGUGCAAUUAAAUUGUUAUUGGUGUAGAUCUAACGAGGUUCGCAGCAAAGCAGCUCGGAUGCAAUUAACUGUUCUUGGUGAAGAUCCAACAAGGUUCUCAACGAAGCAGCUCGGAUGCAAUUAAUUGUUAUUGGUGAAGAUCUAAUUAGGUUCUCAACAAAGCAGCUCAGGUGCAUUUCACUGUUCUUGGUGAAGAUCUAACGGGGUUCUCAACAAAGCAGCUCGGGUGCAAUUAACUGUUCUUGGUGAAGAUCUAUUGAGGUUCUCAACAAAGUAGCUCGGGUGCAAUUACCUGUUCUUGGUGAAGAUCUAAGGAGGAUCUCGACAAAGCAGCUCGGAUGCAAUUAAUCGUUCUUGUUAAAGAUCUAACGAGGCUCAGGUGCAAUUAACUGUUCUUGGAUAGGUGUAAAUUCUUUGUUUAUAUGAUCAGUGCCUUCUGAAACAAUUGAUAUUUAUGUAUGAGAAACAGUACAUUAGCAAAAUAUUGGCCUUCUGCUGACCGUAAAAAUAAAUCGAUGAUAUUGAGACUUCGACUAUAAUUAAAUGUGGUUUUUCGAUCUUGGUUGAUUCAAUCGUAAAGCAAACUAUGUUACCAAAGACAUGGGCUGAUCACUUAAAAUCAUUAUUGUUAUGAAAUUUAAUUUACAACAAUUUUCUCAAUUAUAAAUUUGAUUACAGAAAGAUCUUAGCAUUGCCAUUUAUGUUUGUUUAUCCGACCUGCGUAUUGAAAAAAUCUUAAAUUGGAUCGUCGACCGGUCUAAUUUAAUUAUUGAAUCAAAUAUGUUAAAAUCGAAAUGAAUUGAGUGGCCUGAGUUUUGGAUAACCUGCAGAACUAGAUCGAACUGGACAGUCAAAUCGUAAAAACGUAUCAUUAACCAAUCCAAUUCAAUUAUUAGAUUGGAUGUCUUAAAAGCCAAAAUGAAUUGAUUGACUAAACCGAUUUUAUAAUAUAAUAAAAAGUUACUUAAAUAUAUUAACAUAAAUCCUUUUUAGCAUUUAUUAGUUGAUAUUAUCAUUCUUAUACUAUUUUUUACUUUUAAAAUUAGUUUUCAUAUUUUAAAAUUUUAUUAUAUCUACUUUUAAAUUAUUUAAUAUAUUUUAAAAAUUUGUUUUAAUCAAACAAACAACCCUACCUGCUGACCCAUAGCCUAAUGACCCAAGACUCGACUAGGGUUUCCCGAUUCGGUUCAAUGUACAUCAAUCUCGAGCGAAGAUAACACCCAAGAUUGAUGAAUUUGGCAUGUGGACAAUAUCUACCUAGUAAGAUGAUAUGACAAAUCCAACAGAUGAAUCGAGUGUCAUGCACCGAAGACGAAGCAGUCGAAUCGACAACACAUGACGAGAUAAAUCUUAGACAUGGAGGCCAUGCAAGACAUGGUAAGGACAACACUCGGGAAGAAAGCAACAGGAAAAUGGAAUGAACUAUGAACUACUGAUCCAGUAUUCUACCACCGCAAACAAGUCAAUCCACAAGCAAAGACUAGUCUAAAAACCCAAAUCCCACGAAACAUGUUCUUAGCAAAGAAAAAGCAAAACCGAGCUCCACUAUAAGCUACUAGUUCCUGCCUCGAGGAAAAUCUAAAACUAAGUCCGUCGCCUCAAUGAAUGAGGCUAUCGUUCAGUAUGCCGACUAAUCAGCCGGUGCGUUAGCCCUGCUGCUGCUGUGCGACACUCCUCAGAAUUUCCAUCGCUUCUGCAACUUUUGCUCUCAGAGCAUCUGGAGAUUCCAGCAGAUGCAGGACUUCGGUUUGGUCCAUCUCGAGCAGCAUUCCUGUAACUUUGGCUGUAUCAACGGGUUCAAGUUGCUUAACAAGUGCGUACAGACUAUCACCGAGCAUCUGCACAGGAAGAACAUGUGAACCAUAAUCGGUCGACCAUAGAUAGAGUUGAUUCAUUGCACUUGUAAAUACGAGGACAUGUUAACCGGAAAAGGACACAUCGAUGAGAAACAUACCAGCCUUUGUUGCUCGGGAGGAGCAUUUGCAAGGGCCGAAGGCAAUGCAGCGAUGGGAAUAGGUUGUGGCACGGCAACAUCUUGCAUAGGCAAACCUCCCAUCUCAUUAGGAUGGAGCAUACCACCAACUGCACCUGGUGUGCCAGGAGGGUAGCUGUGGACAUGAAACUUUGGAACCAUCUGUUAUGCAUUAUAAGCAAAAUAAAUAAAUAAAUAAAUAAAAAGUUAGAUCAAUACUAAUAUUGCAUCACAUUGAACAUUCUAUAAAGCUAUAAUCUCAGAUAAAACCAAGAUGAGAACAUAUUAUUUUGCCCUUCAAAUUUAAACUUUAACCCUUCCGAAUCUUUCACCCUAGUACUCUUUCUACUUUCAACCAAUUGCAAUUUGCUGUGGUUGUUAAUAAUAGUUAAACCCACCAAAUGGUAACCAUGAUUGUAAGAAGGCACAGAAAGCUUUAGAACCAAGCGAGAUGAUCAAGGACCUGUUGCAGAGUUAAUGGUUGGUGUACCUUCCGUCUUUGUUGGACAGGGGCCGGUAAGAAAUUUGGCAUAGGUGCUUCUGCAGGCUGUACUCCAGGGAUGAGCUGUGGCUGAAAUCUAAAUCCUGGCUGUAGACGAAAUUUUAGAAGUUAUAGAAUGAUUUAAGCAAUAAAAGAAUUAAUAAAGCAUGCAUAGUAACUUAUAAAGCAGUAACAUGCAGAUUCAAUAAACAAAAUAACUAAAUGCAGCGCACCACAAACAACACAUUUCAUAACAUUGUACUUGAAAUGCACAAAAAAGAUCAGUGAUGCAUUGCAGUUAUGACGUAUCGUUCAUGUGCUUUAGGUGCAGGCAAUCAUACAAGUUUUUGACUUACUGUCAUACUGUAUGUAUGCCACACCAUUCAUCAUGUAAGUCCAUGACAGAUGGCAUCAGCAACUAAGAGUUCAAAAAAGAGAAGGUAAAUUCUAUAUUCCACAUAUAGAUAAUAUAAUAAUUAAGAUUGAAUUAAAAAUAAAAGAAUGCAAAAGUAUCUAUUACAAUUACACCUGAAUCUUACCAGUGAUUAUUCUAAUCUUUAUAAGGGAGCUCCAAAUCUAAGACUGAAAUAAUAGCUUCUGUACACUAGUUAGCUUACACAUGCAAUGCACAUACUAAAUUUCCAAUUUCCCACUUCACAUUUCCUUUUCACUAAUGAGCAACAGCAUGCUACAACUACCGAAACUUCUUCCACUAUAAUAUUAAAGAAAUAUAAUAAUGAGCAAAAGGAUAACAAGCAUUAUAAAAAGUUAUUUCCCAUUAUGACAGUCGUGAUAAAGUAUGUAUAUCAACCAAUAUCCAGUUUGACCACUGGCCAUCAAAUAUGAUAAUACCUUGACUGAUAUGCUACAUGGCAUGUUUGAAUAUUUUGGCCAAAUAUAAGCUUCAACAGUUCAAACAGAGAUUGAAGGACAUGGAGAUAAUUGUAAGAGUUUCCACCUUAAUAUUGAGCAUCACAAAAGCCAGGAUAUUAUAUAACUAAUAUUGUCCUCGACAGUCAAUUGACCAACUAGUAUUGCAGUAAACGGUUAUCCGAAAAACAGGAUUUUUUAUGAUAAAAAAAUUGAAUCAAACAUAAGAACCAAAUAGAUACCUGUGGUGGAAUAAGGUUAGGAGGUGGUUGACCAUAAAAUAUUUGUUGCCCAAGGCCAGGAGCACUGGGGGGGUAGAUGGAAACUCGGGGGCCAACACUUGGGCCUAGGCCCAUUGCUACAGGUCGCACUUGUGAAAAGUGUGCCUAUAUAUUAGACAAAAAAGUUAUUGAAAAAAAAAACAAAACAUAAAUGCCAGCAAAAUUUCAGAAUUUUAUUAUGGCAAAAUACAUUGCUACAAAGAGACAUGACUAUAAAAGAGACAAUUUCGUUAUGACAUAAUCCAUUUCAGACAAUGGACCAUCAGAAAAGUACUUUGCCAACACAAAUUACACAGUUCAUCAUUUCCAGGUUGGAUUGAGUAAAAAAAGAGGACAAAAAAGCAAACGAUUAUAGGGUGUAACCUAAAGGCUAAUUGUAAAGCACUUCCACUAUUUUUGCAAAACUAACACCUAAGUAGACAUGAUAUGUAACAAGUAGGAUAUGAAGCUUCUAGAAGCUUGUUCAUAUCCUUUCACUUCAAAGCUAGACAUGAAACAUCAGUUGAAGGUACCACACUAAAACCUAGCUGACCACAUUACCAUUGUAGCUGCUUAAAGUAACUUGAUUAUGACCUCAAAAAAUGGUUGGGAUAAAGUAGAUACCUGAAAACUAGCUCUUCUAUCUUCUUUCCGUUGCGCAGGUGCAACAUAAAGUGGCUUCCCGCGAACCAUCUUUCCCUUCAUAUCUUCAAGCUAAAAAAAAAGAAAAAAAUUCCAUUUAUGAAUGUUCCAAAAGAUUUUUAGAAGAGAGUGUAUGUGUGUGUGCGUGCGCGUGAGAGAGAAUGAGAUUACAGCUCGAUUUGCUUCUUCAGGUGCAGAGAAAGCAACAAAACCAAAACCUUUACUUAUACCAUCAGGGUUCCGCAUAAUCUGUAACAUAUAUAUACAUCACAAGAAAGCCAUUAUGACCAAAUCAAGAAAAUUAAGAGAAUUAAUUGUACCAAAACUGGACAUCCAGUACCUUGCAAGAAGUAAUUGUACCAAAAUCAGAAAAUAGUUCUUUCAGCUCAUCAUCCCCAACGCUAUCAUCUAAGUUCUUCAAAUAUAAGUUGAGUCCUUGAUCCCUGUCCACUGUAUUCCUCGCACUCUGAUUAUAACUUUUUCUUAGUGCUAAUUCUCUUUCGGAUUUCUUCAGUGCCUUUCCAACAUACCACUCCUUAUCGUCAAAUUUCUGCUCAUUGAGUUCUUGAACUGCUCGAGCGGCAUCAUCUGGAUUCUCAAAAUUGACAAACCCAAAACAUUUAGAUUUUCCAUCCUCCUCCCUCAUAACAAUGGCACUUGUAAUUUUCCCAUACUCGCCAAAGAUAUUUUCUAGAUCUUCAUUUGUAGUCGACUCUGAGAGGUUUUUGACAAAGACAUUAGAAAACUUUGUCUUGUCUAAGGAGUUCUGUCUUUCUUUUUUGCGAAUAAAGGGUCCAACAAAAACUGGUUUAUCAUUUAAAAGCAUUCCAUUUAUCUCAUUGAUUGCAUUCUGAGCUGCCUCCUCUUGUUCAAAUUGAACAAAACCAUAGCCUUUUGACUGUCCAGAUGCAUCUUUUGCAAUCGUGCAGGAAACAAUUCUACCAAAUGCCGAAAAGAUAUCAAACAGCUGUCCAUUGCAUAUUGCUUUAUCUAGAUUCUGAAAAACACAAAAAUAACAACUUAUGUAUGUACAAUGCGAACUUGCAACUGUCAAAAGAAAUGAGUAACAUAAAUUAUCCAUAAUCUAAUUGGAAACUGACAUCUUCACCACAGCAAAUUAAACAAUUCAUUACCUUAACAAAUAUAUUUGCUGCCCCAUUUCUAUGCAUGCUAGGGUCCCGGUUUGAAUCCAGAAUGCGAAUAGGCUUAUUGUUAAGAGGCAUAAAGUUCAGCACCUCCAAUGCCGUUGUAGCUGUCAAUCAUAAAAAAAAAUCAGAUAAAAAAAAGACAUUCUUACACUUAUCAUUUGGCAACUGCUCCAAAAGAAACAUUUUGAUUCUCAUGGUAUUAUGAUGUAGAAUUUUCAUUCCAUCAAUAAUACAGCCACCGCAAUAUUUGCUUCCAGAGAGUUACCAUUUAUUAAAAGUCCUUGAUGUCCAAGAAGAGAAUUCCAAUACUAAUAGCAAUGAAAUAGUAAAUUGUUCAAAAUCAGAGAAGGUUUCAGUAAAUGACUUUUAUGAAAACAUGUGUUGAUUUAUUAUAAGAAAUCACUUUCGUUAUUUUAAAUAUUCCACAACAAAUACUGGGCCAUUGAAUAUAAUACUACUUCAUAGACUUGAUGCAAGAAUGGAUUUGAUAUCUUGCAGAAAAGAUAGAAAUAAAUACAAAAAAAGUAAUUUGGGAACAUUAAACAAAUAAUUUAAAAACAUCCCAACAUUUGAAUCCUGGAUAAAUUAUGAGAUUUCAAGAGAUUUCUUUUUUUCCAAUUAGUUUCUCUUUCUUGGUUCAUUAUCUCUUGACACAGUGGAUAUCCACCAAAGAGAAAUAAGUGUUAGGUUUGGUAGAAGGGGUGUCACCACAGUUUGUCUUAGGAAGAUCAUCUCUUGCACAGGUAUGGUCUUCUAUAAAAGCCAACACAAUAACCAUUUGUGCUUCUAUACCAGCAACUAAACCAGGAAAAUCAAGGGGCUAACAUCAGCACCCACUGCCUGGAGCUCACCACCACCAAAGGUCCAACAAAACCUAUGGUAAGCAUAAGGGGAAUCAGACAAGGGGAGAUGUUACAGGACAAUACUUGGCACUGGCGCACUCUGCAUGACGAAUUUCCUGCCCAUACUUAUCAGGCGACAUGUUCCAUGCUAAUUGUAAUUACCAAAUAUUUUCAUUUAUUUCCUAAAGUAGAAAUUCCUCAAAUAGUAUCUUUCCCUUGAUAGAAUAAUUUAUUUCCUAAAUUCGAAAUAAAUUACCACCAUUAAAAUGGUUAGUUAAUUUGAUAAGUUAGUUUAGACUGAUAUUAUUAAUUAUUUACAUAUUAAUUACCAACAGUUAAAAAUUAGAGUUAUGUCAUACAUGGUUCCCCCUCCUCAUCAAACCCUCUCCCAUUCACUCUAACUUGAAGGUAAGAUGGGAAGAAUCUAAUGAUGAGGAGCAAACCGUUCAAUCCAGGUUGAUUCGGCCAGAAUCGACAUGAUCCAAUCUAGAAUCACCUAAGACCAGCUCAAUUUAACCUAAACCAGUCCAUAAAUAGCCAGAACCAGUUAAAACCAUUCAAAAUCAUUCCAUUAUCACCAAGAACUUGCCUGAAUUGAGCGAACCAAUUUGAUUUGGUUCGGCCCAAAGGGGCUGAGUGUUGGGCCUCAACAGUCCAUAGGCAUCGAGUGGAGUCGAGCCACGUGUGUUGGACCUCAUGGUGCAAAGGGAUGGGUAAUGCUGGGCUUGACCCAAUUGGGUCUAGUCCACCUGAGCAGACUCAAGUUGAGUCUAGUCCAGGCCAAACCUUAGUAGACCCAAGAGUGGUCCAAUAGUUAGAUUUUUAUUUUUUAUAUAAAAAUGAGUAACUAAUAUCCAAAUUAAACAAAUCUACAUUGCAUAAUUGAUCAAUUAAUUAAAAUCUCAUUAACAAGAACUUCAACUGAAAUAAAUGACAUGAUACAAAUUAAAUAUAACCUAUGAAUAAAAUGUUGUAAAAUCUUAUAAAAUAAUGUGAAUGCUAACAUAGAUUUUCAAAGAACUAAAAUUAAUUAAUUUCGAAAUAUAAAGAUUCUAUCAACACAAACUAAAUGCUUAAAAAACAAAAGAAAAGUAGGAGAACUUACGGUUCUCCUUAGGGAUGAUCACCAGCCCUUUCUCCUUGCUCCUUGUUGGUAGACUUUUUUUGUCUCCAUAAAAUAAAUGAGCGAGAAGGGUUUGAGCAACUUAAAUAGGGGAAAGGGGUAAAGCCAUAUAUGGAAUAACUAUAUUUUUUUAUUUUUAAAAUAAUUUAUAUUUAAAUAAUUAAUAACAUCAUUCCAAUUUUAUUUAUUCAAAUUAAGAAACAAUCAUAAUGGCUACAAGUUAUUUCCAACCUAGGAUAUACUUAUUUAGGAACUAAAUUAUUCAAAUAAGAAAAAAUACUAUUAGAAAAAUUUUUUACUUAGGAAAUAAUUAAAAAUAUCCAAUGGUUAUGGUCACUGCUGGGUUUCAUAGUACUCAACAGUUGAUAGAAACCAAACAAGGGAUUCCAAGGCUUCCUAAUUUGCCCAACCCUCUAAACCCAUUGGAGAUCAUAUAAAAUAAUAUAGGAGCUUUGAUCGAUAGAGACACUAGGACAAUAUUAUUAUUCAUGAGGAUAAUAUCUUUUUUACUCUUUUUAUUCGAAAAUUAAAAAAUAAUACAAAUCAAAGUCCUUGCAUCUCUUCUAUGGUUUUUUUUUAAUAUUUUUCAACAACAUUGGUUUAUAUUAAAAUACUAUUAGAAAAAUUUUUGAUUUAGGAAAUAAUUGAAAAUAUCCGAUGGUUAUGGUCACUCUUGGGUUUUAUAGUACUUGCAUAAUCGAUAGAAACAAAAAAACGGAGUCCCAAGAUUUCCUAAUUUGCUCAAUCCUCUGAACCCAUUAGAAAUCAUAUAAACUAGAAUAGGAGCUUUAAUCGACAAAGACACUAGGACAAUAUUAUUAUUUAUGAGGAUAAUAUCUUUUCGGCUCUUCUUCUUCAAAAAUUAAAAAUAAGUACAAAUCAAAGUCAUUGCAUCUCUCCUAUAUUUUUUUUCAUAUUUUUUACAACAAUAUUGGUUUAAUUUAAAAGCUUUAAUCCCUACUCAAAAGUUGUAAUGCCAUAAUCGCAUCGUGCAUACAAUUCUUCGCAAAAUUCAUCAUCCAAAGCUGACUGUUUAUAUGUUACAUGUUUCUCAUUAAUACAUAAUGCUCAUUAAUACAUGUUCCUCAUCCACAAAAUUCAUAAUGCUCUGACGAUUUAUAUGACAUGUUCCUCAUUAAUACAUAAAACACAAAUACCAACUAACUAAACAAGCAGUCAAUGAGACCUUUCAUCCAACUACCUAAAUAAACAUCACCUCAGCUCAAUAUGAAAAGAAUCCUCCUAUUGUACUAUGAUCUAAAAAAGAUAAUAAACACAAAUGCCCAGUAGAGGAAUUCAAAGGACAAUGAAUAACAAUAUACGAAAUAAAUACAUAACAUUUGUGAAAAUAUGUUCAUAAUAAAUGUUCAUUCAUACAAGACGAAUAACCAAAGUACCAACAAUAGGGAAUUUGAAAGUAACAACUCAGAAAGAUGCAUAUAAUAAAAUAUCAUUUAAUAAUGCAUCAUAAUCAUCCAAUGAUACACCAUCAUCAAUAAUAGUGUCGAACAAAUGGACAUCCAAACUCUCAGAAUCGAUAGCUCUCCCAACAAUAUAUAUAAACAAUUGAUAUAAAAAAAAGACAUCAACAUCUGCAAUAGUGUUUUAAAAAACGCUUGGUGCUAAAAGGUAACAAAGUUGCAAAAUGCCCAAAGUGUCGAUCAAUAUGGUGUUAACCAAUUCUAACCAAUGCUAAAUAAAGAAUUGAGAAGAGGUGUAUCCAACGGGUGUGGAAGAAGGUAGGGGGAAAGAGAGGGUGACAAACGAAGCUGUAGAUAAGACGACAACAAUGGACAAAUCUGCAAACGAAAGCGAUGACGACGAAUGAAACUACGGAUAAAGGUGGUGAAUUCACUUCGAAGACAAACUUUUAGAGGGGGGUGGGGGAGGGUUGUGUUAGGGUACAUUAGUUGGUUCAAUCGACUCAGGCAGAAACCCAAACCCAACUUCACUUGGGUGCUGGCUCGAGGUGCCCAACGCUUGGGCCCAGGUGUGCACCUAAGCAACGCUUCAUUGAAACACCACACCUGGAGGCUUUGCGAGGCACGGAGGCCUCAUCUCGUCUCGCCUCGCUAGAGUGCCUUUUGAAAACAUUGAUCUACAGAUGUUGGGGUUCCAUAUUGCCCUUUAAACUAGAGUGGUCUCACACUAGUCAUGAUGGAGACAUCUAAUCAUGACGGAGUCAUGAUGGUAAUACACAUGUUGCUCACCAAACACAAGACCAUCUAGUUGCCCCAUUUGAUGAUCCGCUAAUUCAGAAGAAAAUCGGUCUAUCGGUACUAGUUUAUUUGCCCAUCAUCGAUAGGGAUAAUGACCAUAAUCAACAUGAUACAAUUCAUGGUAUCAUAUAACGUGCAAAAUAUAAUAUCAUAUAAGAAUGCAAACCAACAUAAUACCAUCACCAGUAGAGUAUCAUCCAAUAACAAGCAAGAACGUGAAUGUAAAAUAGAAUAAUAUCUUAACCAACUUAAGAGGUUCAUCAUUCAUAUUAUAAGGCUAACAACAAUAAACAACACAAGGUCAAAUAGAAGUUGACUUGAGUAUAUCCAAGACCCACUUAAGAAUGCCUAUGUUAUUAGAUUAGAUAAAUUCAGCAUAAUUUAACUAUUGAACCCAUCUUGACUUUUCUAGACUAAUAAAUCCAGAUGAGCAAAUUAUGCUAGUUCAAACUAGCUUCACUAAGUAUGCAUCUCAUUAACACUUACUAUGACCGUUAAAUAACUCUAGCUUAAAAUGAUACAUUCAAAUUAAAUUGGGUCAUUAAUCAUUUGUUUGUGUUACUAAUCAUUUUGAUUCCCUUUGCAUUGUUUGUUAGUGCAAUAUAAUAUACAUAAUGACUACAAGGUAUCCUGAAAACAAUUUCCUCUUAAAUUCUCAUUAAAGAUCUCACCUACAUGUGUAAUUACUAAUAGUGAUAUAUGCACAUCACCUAUGACCACAUAGAUGAAUAUGUGCAUACAUGCAUGACAAAUGAAUACUGUUAUUGGAAAUUACACUUAGGUACGUACCAUGUACUACCAGGCCAAGUGUAGGAAAUGUAAGUUGUGCUGAAAAUGGAGAUUGGAUGAUUCACGUGGUUAAGGGCCAGCAUUUAUUUGGCCAACUCUUUCGUGUACAAUAAGUCCAUUCAGAUAGAACAUGGGAAAAGGUCUUGCAUUAAAUAAGGAUUAACAAGUGCAUGAUGUUAUUGCUAAUAAGGCACAAAAUGAGUCAUUCACAUUAGGGUCAUUAAAUAUCACUUAAAUUCCACUUGACUGUCAGAGGGCCACUAUAUAACCAUCACAUAUUUUGAUAGGUUAGUCACAAAACAAUAGAUUGACUAGCAAUCUAGUAAUACAUGCCAUGGAAUAAAUGUGGUUACAGUCUAAACAUUAUGCUUCUUCCCAAACUAUCUAGUUUUGAGUAAGAAAUUAGCAAUGAAGCCAUGACCUAAAGGUAAUGGUUGGGUUGAGGCUAGGCCAUGGUAGAACGGUUCAUGCAAGCUAUGGCCUCAAAUAUGCGGAGGGGCCCAUGGCUUGCGUUAGAAUAUUACUACCAUAUCCUAUAGCCCUAUGGCCAGAAGACUUAUGCCAUGUGGUCCUUGACUUAUGGUGAAUUACAACAAGAUUUCCUCUUUCUGAUCACUAAUUGGCCUACGAAUGGAGGAAAGCUCCAAAAUUGUAACAGUGGAUUCAAGUUUGUCAGUGUAACAGAACUGAAGCAUGGACAUAGAUUUACUCCAAGUGUCGAGUCAUUAUCACGAGCUAUCUCCCACAGUCCCACUCUAGGAUAUUGGCUUGGAAGUCAGUACACUUAUGAAUGUGUAGAGCAGUCAUCAUUUGAGACAUCUGAAAUUACUCAUAGGAUGUUAAGCAUAGUGCAUGCAUAUGUUACAAGAACGCAAAAGAUGUAGUGAUUUUGAUUGUGCUAUCACUUGUUUUGUCUAUUCAUUGGAUUAUGCAGAUGACAACACCAAAAGGUAUUGCAACCUCAACUAAGAUAUGCCUCUGAGUUGUUUGUCCACACUAGACCUAUGCAAAUGUGGAUUAACUUCCAACUGGUUCAUAUCCAAGUUCAUUUCAAGGAUUGGUUAGUGGAUCAGUUAGAGCAUGAGAUAUUAAGUGCAUCGGGGUGACACUGAAAUUCCAAUAGUGAUGCCUUAUGACCAUGAUUCUACCAGUAACCUAGUUAACCAUUGCACAUGAAGUGCAAGGAACAUAUACCACAAUUGAAACAUGUUAAUCAGAUUAGAAGUAUUAACUACCAUUUUCUUAUACAUAGAUAUUAUCGCUCAUUGUUAUUUCCUUUUCCUUCUUAGGGAAUUUGGUAAAUAACAAAUGACAUGCAUUUUCUACUACACUCACAUGGAUACAAGUAAAAAGAUUCGAAUCAUCUACUGGAAAAUUGAGCCACAAUCAUAAUAGAAAAUUUGCCAUAGAUAUCAUUACGCUUCAUAUGAUAAUUUAAGCAUCGAAAAUAGCAUUUUUGGAUGACAAGGAACGCUUUUUAUUUCAAUACAAUCAUCUACAUCAUAGAAAACAAUGAGAUAGAAGGAAGGAAAUCUCUAGAAAAGAUCACUACCAGGUUUCUGACAUGGAAAAGAAAAAAAAUAGAAUCCUAC